RNA transcript from Mirounga angustirostris (Northern elephant seal), 49902 nucleotides. It is a transcript of the gene named negative regulator of P-body association, with no coding region annotated. The record is from RefSeq and is a predicted model, not a curated record. Lineage: Eukaryota; Metazoa; Chordata; Mammalia; Carnivora; Phocidae. The transcript is spliced from 5 exons.
CUCUGUGCCUGGAAGGGACCCGCCGCCAUCUCAGGUCUCGGCCUCGUCGGGCCCACUAGAGAAAGCUGACGCCCAGUCCUAUAAUCCUUAUGGGCGACCAACCUUGUGCCUCCGGGAGAUCCACGCUCCCACCUGGAAAUACCCGGGAAACCAGGCCUCCAAAAAAGCGCUGCCUCCUAGCUCCACGGUGGGAUUAUCCAGAAGGAACCCCCAACGGAGGUAGUAACCCUCUUCCCUCCGCACCUUCUCCUGCAUCACCGGGCCUGAAAUCGCACCCUCCUCCUCCGGAGAAGUAGUAGAAUAUACUUAUCCCACCCCAAACCAGUCUUUGAGGGAUUGCAGAAUGACUCCAUUUCCUUGGUGCAUUCAUAAAAUGGUUCAUCUAGUGAAGACAAUGAAGAUUAUUGACACCGCUGCCCUGCUUUUUCUGAUGUCCUGCACCAGAGAGAGAGAGCACGCGAGCGGGAGGGGCAGAGAGAAAGGGAGAGAAUUUUAAGCAGGCUCCAUGCUCAACACAGAGCCCAGUGCAGGGCUCAAUCUCCUGACCCUGAGAUCAUGACCUCAGCCGAACUCAAGAGUUGGGACGCUUAACCGACUGAGCCAACCAGGUGACCACUGUGUGGCUUACAGCACUGAUGGGCAGGAUGAAAAUGGUGGCGCCCUGAUGUCUAGCCUUGGAGCUGAAUGUUCAAGCCCCCCACUCUUCAGUGAACCUUCAAAGAAGAACAGUCAACCACUCUUCUGAUGUCUCCAGUUUCCGUCAGAACCCUGUGUUCACCCCACCUGUGUCCAAGUUUUUUCAUGUCAGAAUAUGUUCUGCAAAAAAAAAAAAUACAGUGAAUGCAUUGAUUUAUUUGUGAAUUUACCAGCAGAAUUUAUAAUUAGCAGUGAGGAUAAGCUUUAUAUAUGAAAACAUUAUUUUUCUUCGGGUUUUUUUUAUUUUAUAAAAUUUCAACUCUACAGAAAAGUCAAAAGACAUCCUUCAUUUAGAUCCAUCCAUUUUUUAUUUUGCUACAUAUAAUUUCUUUCUUUAUAAAUGUAUACAUGUUUUUAUGUUAUGUAUUAAUAUUAUAUGUUAUUAUAUAUAAUUAUAAUAAUAUGUAUGUAUUGCUGAACCAUUUGGAAGUAACCUGCAGAUAUUAUGACACUUCAGCCUUGAACACUUCACUUCAUUAUUUCUCAAGAACAAGGGCAUUACUUCCAUCACAUUCAGAGAAAUUUAACACUGAUACAAUUCUGUUAUCUAACAUACUGUCCCAAAGUUUCAAAAUUGUCUUGACAGUAUCUUUCAAAGUUUUUUAUUUGUUUUGUUACAGGAUCCAGUCAAGGAUCAUGCACUGUAUUUAGUUGUAAUGCCCCUUUAAACUUUUUAAAUCUAGAAUAGCAUCACCUCAUCCCUUCUUAAAAUUUUUUCAAAAUAUUGGCAGUUCUCAUGAGUCCAGGCAGUUGUCCUGCAUAUGUGCCACAAUUUGAGCUUGUCUGUUUCUCCAUGAUUAAUUUAAGCAUUUUUAGCAAAAAGACUACAUAGGUGAUGCUGUGUCCUUGCAUCACAUCAGGAAGCACAGACUGGUUUAUCCCAUUCAUUAUUGAUAAUGCUAAGUUUGUUUCACCCUUUUUAAAGAUUUUUUUAAGAGCAGUUUUACAUUCACAGCAAAUUUGAGAAGAACACAUAGAGAUUUCUUAUAUAUCCCUUACACCUACACAUGCAUAGCCUUCCCUGUUAAUGAACAUUCCCUACCAGAGUGGUACAUUUGUCACAAUUAAUGAACCUAUACUGACAUACAAUAAUCACCCAAAGUCCAUAGUUACAUUAUUUCACUCUUGGUGUUAAACAUUCUUUGGGCUUGGAAAAAUGAAUAAUGACAUGUAAUCUCAUUAUAGUGUCAUAUAGAGUAUUUUCACUGCCUCAGAAGGCUUCUGUGUUCUUCCUAUUCACCCCUUCCUCCAUGCCUCUGGCAACCACUGAUCAUUUUACUGUGUUCAUAGUUUUACCUUUACCAGAACAUGAAUAAUUGGAAUCGUAAGGUAUAUGGCCUUUCAGAUUGGCUUAUGUCCAUUAGUAAUAUGCAUUUAAGGUUUCUCCAUGUCUUUUCAUGGUUUGAUACCUCAUUUCAUUUCAGAAUAACAUUCCAUUGUUUGAAUGUAGCAGUUUAUUUAUCCAUUCACCUACUGAAGGACACUUGGUUGCAUCUAAGAUUUGGCAAUUAUGAAUAAAGUUCUAUACACAUCUACCUGCAAAUUUUUGUGUAGACAUGUUUUCAACUCCUUUGGAUAAAUAUCAGGAAAUACCAUUGCUUGUAUUUUUAUUUUUUAUAUUUAUACUUAAUAUACUUAUAUGCAUAUAUGUGUACAUACAUUUUUUUAAACCAUUGGACAAUAAGUUGCCUCAUGAAUCCUAUGUAAUUCAGUAUGUGUUUCCUAAAACCAUAUUCUUUUUUCACCAAUUAUACCAUUAAGUGCGAUUUAUUAAAAAAAAUAAAAGAAUUUGGUCCAGGAUCCAAUCCCUAAUCAUGUUGUCUUGAGCUAUUAUGUUUGUUUAGUUUGCUUCAAUUGCAGUAGUUUCUUAGACUUUGUGUAAAAAAAUAGUUUUGAAGAUGAUAACAGUCAUUUUAUAGAAUGUCCUGGAAUUUCAGUUUUUGUGAUGUUUCUUCAUGAUUAUAUUCAGAUUAUGCGUUUUGUCAAGGAAUAUCACUGAAAUGAUGUUUGGUUCUCAGUGUAUUGUGUCAGGAGGCACAUGGUGUCAUUUUGUUCUAUAACUUUAACUUUUAAUUUUUUGUUACUGAGUUUUGUUCAGGAGAUUGAAGAAUGUAAGGCUUUGCCCUAUGCUGAUGUCAUAGAUAGCUAGGCAGGUACUUUUCUCUUUUCCCUUAGGAAGCAGUAACUUUUUCUUUCUUUCUCUUUUUUUUUUUUAAUUUUAUUAUGUUAUGUUAGUCACCAUACAAUACAUCAUUAGUUUUUGAUGUAGUGAUCCACAAUCCAUUGUUUUCGUAUAACACCCAGUGCUCCAUGCAGUACGUGCCCUCCUUAAUACCCAUCACUGGGCUAACCAAUCCCCCCUCCCCCCUCCCCUCUAAAACCCUGUUUGUUUCUCAGGUCCAUUGUCUCUCAUGGUUCAUCUCUCCCUCCAAUUCCCCCCGCCCAUUUUUCCCUUCCUUCUCCUAAUGUCCUCCAUGUUAUUCCUUAUGUUCCACAAAUAAGUGAAACCAUAUGAUAAUUGACUUUCUCUGCUUGACUUAUUUCACUUAGCAUAAUCUCCUCCAGUCCCAUCCAUGUUGAUGUAAAUUUGGGUAUUCAUCUUUUCUGAUGGCUGAGUAAUAUUCCAUUGUAUAUAUGGACCACAUCUUCUUUCUCCAUUCGUCUGUUGAAGGGCAUCUCGGCUCUUUCCACAGUUUGGCUAUGCGGACAUGGCUGCUAUGAACAUUGGGGUGCAUAUGGCCCUUCUUUUCACUACAUCUGUGUCUUUGGGGUAAAUACCCAGGAGUGCAAUUGCUGGGUCAUAGGGUAGCUCUAUUUUUAAUUUUUUGAGGCACCUCCACACUGUAUUCUAAACUGGCUGUACCAACUUGCAUUCCCACCAAGAGUGUAAGAGGGUUCCCCUUUCUCCACAACCUCUCCAACAUUUGUUGUUUCUUUCCCUGUCCAUUUUGGCCAUUCUAACUGGUGUAAGGUGGUAUCUCAGUGUGGUUUUGAUUUGGAUUUCCCUGAUGGCUAAUGAUGAUGAACAUUUUUUCAUGUGUCUGUUAGCCAUUUGUAUGUCUUCUUCAGAGAAGUGUCUUUUCAUAUCUUCUGCCCACUUUUUGACUUGAUUAUUUGUUUUUUGGGUGUUGAGUUUGAGAAGUUCUUUAUAGAUCUUGGAUACCAGCCCUUUAUCUGUAGUGUCAUUUGCAAAUAUCUUCUCCCAUUCUGUGGGUUGCCUCUUUGUUUUGUUGACUGUUUCCUUUGCUGUGCAGAAGCUUUUGAUCUGGAUGAAGUCCCAAAAGUUCAUUUUUGCUUUUGUUUCACUAGCUUUUGGAGAUGUAUCUUGAAAGACGUUGCUGUGGCCGAUGUCAAAGAGGUUACUGCCUAUGUUCUCCUCUAGGAUUUGGAUGGAUUCCUGUCUCACAUUGAGGUCUUUCAUCCACUUUGAGUUUAUCUUUGUGAAUGCUGUUAGAGAAUGGUCGAGUUUCAUUCUUCUGCAUGUGGCUGUCCAAUUUUCCCAGCACCAUUUAUCGAAGAGACUGUCUUUUCCAUUGCAUGUUCUUUCCUGCUUUGUCAAAGAUUAUUUGACCAUAGAGUUGAGGGUCCAUAUCUGGGUUCUCUAUUCUGUUCCAUUUGUCUGUAUGUCUGUUUUUGUGCCAGUACCAUGCUCUCUUGGUGAUCACAGCUUUGUAAUAUAGCUUGAAAUCAGGCAAUGUGAUGCCCCCAGCUUUGUUUUUCUUUUUCAACAUCUCCUUGGCGAUUCGGGGUCUUUUCUGAUUCCAUACAAAUUUUAGGAUUGUUUGUUCCAGGACUUUGAAAAAUGUCAUUGGAAUUUUGAUCGGGAUGGCAUUGAAGGUAUAGAUUGCUUUGGGUAGCAUAGACAUUUUAACAAUGUUUAUUCUUCCGAUCCAUGCACAUGGAAUAUUUUUCCAUCUUUUUGUGUCUUCUUCCAAUUCUUUCAUGAGUGUUUUGUAGUUCCUAGAGUAUAGAUCCUUUACCUCUUUGGUUAGGUUUAUUCCGAGGUAUCUUAUGGUUUUUGGUGCUAUUGUAAAUGGAAUCGUUUCUUUAAUUUCUCUUUCUACAGUUGCAUUGUUAGUGUAUAAGAAAGCAACUAAUUUCUGUGCAUUGAUUUUGUAUCCUGCCACAUUACUGAAUUGCUGGAUGAGUUCUAGUAAUUUGGGGGUGGAGUCUUUUGGGUUUUCCACAUAAAGUAUCAUGUUGUCUGCAAAAAGAGAGAGUUUGACUUCUUCUUUGCCAAUUUGAAUACCUUUUAUUUCUUUUUGUUGUCUGAUUGCUGUUGCUAGGCCUAUGUUGAACAACAGUGGUGAGAGUGGGCACCCUUGACAUGUUCCUGACCUGAAGGGAAAGGCUCUCAGCUUUUCCCCAUUGAGGAUGAUAUUCGCUGUGGUUUUUUCAUAGAUGGAUUUUAUGAGCUUGAAGAAGUUCCCUCUAUCGCUAUACUCUGGAGAGUUUUAAUCAGGAAAGGAUGUUCUAUUUUGUCACAUGCUUUUUCUGCAUCAAUUGAGAGGACCAUAUGGUGCUUCUCUCUCCUCUUAUUAAUGUGUUCUAUCACAUUGAUUGAUUUGCGAAAGUUGAACCACCUUUGCAUCCCGGGGAUAAAUCCCACUUGGUCGUGGUGGAUGAUCCUUUGAAUGUAUUGUUGGAUCCUAUUAGCUAGGAUUUUGUGGAGGAAUUUGGAAUCCAUAUUCAUCAGGGAUAUUGGUCUGAAAUUCUCCUUUUUGAUGGGGUCUUUGCCUGGUUUGGGGAUUAAGGUAAUGCUGGCCUCAUAGAAUGAGUUUGGAAGUUUUCCUUCUGUUUCUAUUUUUUGAAACAGCUUCAGUAGAAUAGGUAUUAUUUCUUCUUUGAAUGUUUUGUAGAAUUCCCCAGGGAAUCCAUCAGGCCCUGGACUCUUGUUUUUUGGGAGGUUUUGGAUCACUGCUUCAACCGCGUUACUGGUUAUUGGUCUAUUCAGGUUGUCAAUUUCUUCCUGUUUCAGUCUUGGCACCUUAUAGGUUUCCAGGAAGGCCUCCAUUUCAUCCAGAUUGCUCAAUUUAUUGGCAUAUAGUUGUUGAUAUUAAUUUCUAAUAAUUGUUUCUAUUUCCUUGGUGUUAGUUGUGAUCUCUCCCCUUUCAUUCAUCAUUUUAUUAAUUUGUGUCCUUUCUUUUUUCUUUUGGAUAAGUCUGGCCAGUGGUUUAUCAAUCUCAUUAAUUCUUUCAAAGAACCAACUUCUAGUUUCAUUGAUCUGAUCUACUGUGUUUCUGGUUUCUAAUUCAUUGAUUUCUGCUCUAAUUUUAAUUAUUUCUCUUCUAAUGCGUGGCUUAGGGGUCAUUUGUUGCUUUUUCUCCAGUUCUUCAAGGUGUAGAGUUAGUUGGUGAAUUCGGGAUUUUUCUAUUUUUUUGAGUGAGGCUUGGAUGGCUAUGUAUUUCCCCCUUAGGACUGCCUUUGCAGUAUCCCAUAGGUGUUGGACUGAUGUGUUUUCGUUCUCUUUGAUUUCCAUGAAUUGUUUAAGUUCUUCCUUGAUUUCUUGGUUGACCCAAACAUUCUUGAGCAGAGUGGUCUUUAGCUUCCAAGUGUUUGAAUUUCUGCCAAAUUUUUUCUUGUGGUUGAGUUCCAGUUUUAGAGUAUUGUGGUCUAAGAAUAUGCAGGCAAUAAUCUCAAUCUUUUGGUAUCGGUUGAGACCUGAUUUGUGACCCAGUAUAUGGUCUAUUCUGGAGAAAGUUCCAUGUGCACUCGAGAAGAAUGAGUAUUCUGUUGUUUUAGGGUGGAAUGUUCUGUAGAUAUCUAUGAAGUCCAUCUGGUCCAGUAUAUCAUUCAAAGCUCUUGUUUCCUUGUUGAUUUUCUGCUUAGAGGAUCUGUCCAUUGCUGAGAGUGGAGUAUUGAGGUCUCCUACAAUUAACGUCUUGUUAUCAAUAUGACUCUUUCUUUUCUUUUUUUUUUUUUUUUAAGAUUUUAUUUAUUUUUUUGACAGAGAGAGACGUAGCGAGCGCAGGAACACAAGCAGGAGGAGUGGGAGAGGGAGAAGCAGGCUUCCCGCAGAGCAGGGAGCCCGAUGUGGGCCUCGAUCCCAGGACCCUGGGAUCAUGACCUGAGCCGAAGGCAGACGCUUAACGACUGAGCCACCCAGGGGCCCUGAUUAUUUUCGUUAACAGUUGGCUUAUGUAGAUGCCUGCUCCCAUGUUGGGGGCAUAGAUAUUUACAAUUGUUAGAUCUUCUUGUUGGAUAGACCCUUUAAGAAUGAUAUAGUGUCCUUCUGUGUCUCUUAUUACAGAAUUUAGUUUAAAAUCUAAUUUGUCUGAUACAGGAAUCGCUACCCCAGCUUUAUUUUGAGGUUCGCUGACAUGGGAGAUAAAUCUCCAUCCCUUCACUUUCAGUCUGGAUGUAUCUUUAGGUUCAAAAUGAGUCUCUUGUAGACAGCAUAUGGAUGGGUCCUGUCUUUUUAUCCAAUCUGCAACCCUGUGCCGUUUUAUGGGAGCAGUUAGGCCAUUCACGUUGAGAGUGAUUAGUGAAAGAUAUGAAUUAAUUGUCAUCAUGUUGCCUGUGAAGAUGUUGUUUUUAUAGAUUGUCCCUGUAAAUUUCUGUUGUAGAUCACUCUUGGGGUCUUUCUCCUUUUAUAGAACCCCCCUUAAUAUUUCUUGCAGGGCCUGGUUAGUGGUCACAUAUUCUUUCAACUUCUGCCAGUCGUGGAAGCUCUGCAUCUCUCCAUCCAUUCUAAAUGAAAUCCUUGCCAGAUAAAGUAUUCUUUGCUGCAUGUUCUUCUCAUUUAGUACCCUGAAUAUGUCUUGCCAGGCCAUUCUGGCUUACCAGGUCUCUGUGGAUAGGUCUGACGUUAUUCUGAUGUUCUUCCCUCUGUACGUAAGCAAUCUCUUCGCCCUAACUGCCCUUAAGAUGGUUUCCUUGGUUUUAAGAUUUGCAAGUUUUACUAUUACAUGCCGGGGUGUUGGCCUUUUUUCCUUGAUCUUAGGAGGGGUCCUCUCUGCCUCUAGGACUCGAAUGUUUGUUUCAUUCCCCAGAUUAUGGAAGUUCUCAGCUACAAUUUGCUCAAAUACAUCUUCUAGUCCUCUCUCUCUCUCCACUCCCUCCAGGAUUCCAAUUAUUCUGACAUUGGAACGCCUCAUGGUGUCACUUAUUUCUUUGAUUCUAUUUUCAUGGAUUCUCAGUUUUUCCCUGGCCUCCUCUUUUCCCUUUUUAUCUAUUAUAUUGUCUUCCAGGUCUCUUAUUCGCUCUUCUGCCUCAGUUACCCUAGCUGUUAGAUUAUCUAGAUUGGAUUGGAUCUCAUUGAUAGCAUUUUUAAGUUCUGUCAAUUCAGCUUUCAUUUCUGCCCUUAGAGACUCUAUGUUGCCAUUAAUUGAUUUCUCCAUUCUAGCCAUUGUCUUCACAAUUGCUAGCCUGAAUUCCAUCUCCGACAUCUUGGUUAUAUCUGCAUCCAUUUGUAAAUCUGCAGCAUAAGUCAUAAUCUCUGAGUCUUUUCUGUUUUGGGGGCACCUCUUCCUAGUCAUUUUGUUGAUGGGUGUUUGAGGGAAUGUAUAGAGUCCAAAUUAUUGACCAGAACCCAAGCAAGAUGCACCUGUUUUCUUGGGACCUUAGGGUUGUUGGCCUCUUGUUUUCCCAGCCUGUCUUCUGUGGGAGGGGCCUGCCGUGCUGUUACUCAGGCGACCCUGUUUGGGCGGAGUUGCCCUGCACCCCUGUGGCGGGGGAUGGGCUCAGUGGGAAUCAGUCUUCGGGGCUUUUGUUCUCUGGCGCCUUUCCCUGGUGGCUUUCCGCAUCUCUUCCGCGAGUCAGAGCAGAAGAGACCAUUUCCAACCCUCUGCCUCCGAGCAGAGAGACAGCAGUCUGUUCUUUAGUGAGCUCUCCAGGCCACACCAUCUCUGUUUCUGUCCGUGCUGCUAUAAACUGCAACAUCCUGGGUUGUGCGCCCCUCCGCAGCGCUCCCAGUCCUGCCUCCAGGUCGGGGCACGUCUCUGCCCUUUGUGCUUCUAAAACCGCCAGCCGCUCCCAGUUCGGGUGCACGUGACUCCACCGCUUGGGGUUUCCACCACAGAGGUUGCAGUUCACCGGUGGGACCCUGGCACACCUGGUUUCCGUCUCGGAGGCUGCAGUUCACGUGCGCGCGACCGUCGCUCCGGUUUCUAUCUGGGCGGCUGUGGUUCGCGUGCGCGCGACCCCGCCGGUCUGGUUUUCCACCCCGGGGGCUCCCCUAAAGUCCUUUCCCGACGCUACCGGUCUGCGAGUCUGUGCCCGUCCCCAGCGCACGAGGCUGUUACUUACCGGCAGUGUAGGAUCCCCACAGCCAGGCACCCUCCCGCUGCUGUUUAUCCUCCGAUAUCUGCCCGCAGAAUCACGGCUCCCCACUUUGUACCUCAAAACCAACUGCCUGUGAUAUUCUGUUUGUAGAGAUCCAGAUCUUCUUACAUCUCAGGCUGGUUUCAUGGGUGCUCAGAGUGGUCGGGUGGAUAUCCAGCUCAAUUCCGGGGACCAGUUGAAAUAGGGUCCCCUGCUCCUCCGCCAUCUUUCCCCCCUCCCAGCAGUAACUUUUUCUUAAAGUUUUUUUUUAAGAUUUCAUUUAUUUAUUUAUUUAGAUCAUGUGAGUGGGAGGAGGGGCAGAGGGAGAGGGAGAGAGAGAAUCUCAAGCAGACUCUACACUGAUCACGAGCCUGACAUGUAGCUUAAUCUCAUGACCAUGAGUUCAUGACCUGAGCUGAAAUCAAGAGUCGGAUGCUAUACCACCUGAGCCACCCAGGGGCCCAGGAAACAGUCAUGUUUUUAUGGACACGUCAUUAUGAUGGAAUUAGGUUUACCUAACAGGCAGCAUAUUUUGUGUGUACUUUACCUUACCUGUUUAUAGAAGUGCUCAUCAUUAAAUGGAGUUGUCGCAUCUAUUCUACCAUCAUAUUUUCUUGCCUUGGAGUAUUUAUUAGUCUGCCUAUUGGUCUGUUUCUCUCUCUCAGAAGGGUUUUUCAGCAGCUUCACAUGCACAGUGUCCUUAGGCACAUUUUUAUGUAAGGUUAGCCAGUUUUUUUCCAUACCAUUACAUAAGCUCCUUCCUAUACUACUUUCUUAUUUUAUAAUUAUUUCAAAUACUUUAUUCUGUGAAGCCAAUUCAUAAUAUUCCUUAUUUUAUUAUUUUUUUUAAAUUCCAGUAUAAUUAACAUACAGUGUUAUCAUAGUUCCAGGUGUGCAAUAUAGUGAUUAAACAAUUCCAUACAUUAUUCAGUGAUCAUCAGGAUGAGUAUGCUCUUAAUCCCCUUUACCUGUUUGACCCAUUCCCCAUCUAUCUACCCUCUGUCAACCAUGUUUGUUAAUAUAUAUAGUUUAUAUAUAUAUAUAUAAACAACCAUGUUUGUUAAAAGAUAUAGUUAAUCUGGUUUUUGGUUUGUCUCUUUUUCCUUGUUUCUUUUGUUUCUUAAAUUAUACAUAUGAGUGAAAUCAUAUGUUACUUAUCUUUCUCUGACUGACUUAUUUUGCUUAGCAUUAUAUUCUCCAGCUCCAUGUGUGUUGUUGGAAAUGGCAAGAUUUCAUUCACCUUUGUGGCUAAAUAAUACAAUGUUUAUAUCAACCACAUCUUCUUAAAUAAGAGAGGGCAACAAACCAUGAGGGACUCUUGACUCUGGGAAAGAAACUGAGGGUUGUGGAAGGGGGAGGUGGGUGGGGCAAUGGGGUAAUGGGGUGAUGGGCACUAAGGAGGGCACCUGAUGUGAUGAGUGCUGGGUGUUAUACGCAACUGAUGAAUCAUUGAACACUACAUCUGAAACUAAUGAUGUACUAUGUGUGGGCUAAUUGAAUUUAAAUUUAAAAAAGAAUAAAAUAAUAAAGCACACGUUCUUUAUCCAUUCAUCGGUUGAUACACACUUGGGUAUGUUGCAGUAAACAUAGGGGUGCAUAUAUCUUUGUCAAAAUAGUGUUUUCAUAUUCUAUCAGUAAAUACCAAUGGAGAAAUUACUGGAUCAUAUGAUAAUGCUAUUUUUAAUUUUUGGAGAAACCUCUGUACUGUUUCCACAGUGGAAUUAGUGUUCUAUUUUCUGCACAUACUUGCCAGCAGUUUUUCUUGUGUUUUUGUUUUAGACAUUCUGACAGGUGUAAUGUAUCAUAGUGGUUUUGAUUUGCAUUUCCCUGAUGAUGAGGGAUGUUGAGCAUCUUUCCAUUUCUCUCUUGACUAUCAAUAUAUCUUCUUUGCAAAAAUGUCUUUUCAUUUCUUCUGCCCAUGUUUUAUUUGGAUUAUUUCUUUUUUGGGUACUGAUAUUAUAAUAUGUGACUUUAUUUUUGUGAUUGUUUCCUUCACUGUGCAGAAGCUUUUUAUUUUGAUGAAGUCCCAAUAGUUUAUCUUGGCUUUUGUUUCCCUUGCCCCAGAAGGCAUAUAUAGAAAGAAUGUAUGGAAUAUAUUUGAUGUCAAAGAGAUGAAUGCUGGGAUCUCCUCUAGCAUAUUUAUGGUUUUAUGUCUCACAUUUAGGUCUUUAAUCCAUUUUGAAUUUAUGUCUGUAUUUGGUGUAAGAAAGUAGUCCAGUUACAUUCUUUUGCAUGUUGCUGUCCAGUUUUCCCAACACUGUUUGUUGAAGAGACUGUCUUUUUCCCACUGGUUAUUCUUUUUUGCUUUGAUGAAGAUUAAUUGACCAUAUAAUUGUGGGUUUAUUUCUGGGUAUUCUAUUCUGUUCCAUUGAUUUAUGUGUCAAUUUUUUGCCACUACCAUACUGUUUUGAUCACUAGAGCAAUUGUAAUAUGCCUUGAAGUCCAGAGUUGUCAUGCUUCCAGCUUUCAUUUUCUUUUUCAAGAUUGCAUUGGCUAUUUGGGGUCUUUUGUGGUUCAUACAAAUAUUAGGAUUGUUUGUUCUAGCUCUGUGAUUUUCUAGCUUCCUUGCCAAUUUGAAUGCCUUUUAUUUCUUUUUUUCUCUGAUUGCCAAGGCUAAGACUUCUAAUACUAUGUUAGACAGUAAUGGUGAGAGUGGGCAUCCCUGUCUUCUUCCUGACCAUAGAGGAAACACACUCAGUUUUUCCCCACUGAGGAUGAUACUAGCUGUGGGUCUUUCAUAUAUGGUCUUUAUGAUGUUGAGGUAUGUUCCCUCUACUCCUACUUUGUUGAUGGUUUUUAAUCAUAAAUAGAUUCUGUAGUUUAUCAAAUGAUUUUUCUGCAUCUAUUGAGAGGAUCAUAUGGUUCUUGUUUCUUUUAUUAAUGUGUUGUAAUAUGUUGAUUGAUUUAUGAAUAUUGAACCACCCUUACAACCAAGGAAUAAAUCCCCCUUGAUCAUGGUGAUUAAUUUUUAUAAUGAAUUGUUGGAUUCAGUUUGCUAGUAUUUUAUUGAGAAUUUUUGCAUAUCUGUUCAUUAGGAAUAUUGGCCCUUAGUUCUGUAUUUUAGUGGAGUCUUUAUCUGGUCUUGAUAUGAGGGUAUUGCUGGCUUCAUAGAAAGAAUUUGGAGGUUUUCCUUUUCUAUUUUAUUGGAAUAAUUUGAGAAGCAUAGGCAUUAACGCUUCUUUAAAUGUUUGCUAGAAUUUACUUGUGAAGCCAUCUGGCCCUGGACUUUUGUGUCUCAUUAGAUUGUUGAUUACUAAUUCAAUUUCCUUGCUGGUUAUCCUGCUGUUUAAGUUUUCUGUUUCUUCCUGUUUCAGUUUUGGUAGUUUAUAUCUUUCUAGGAAUUAAUUCAUGUCUUCCAGGUUGUCCAAUGUGUACGCAUAUUGUUUUUCAUAAUAUUCUUAUAAUUUUAUUUCUCUGAUGUUGAUUGUUAUUUCUUUUCUCUUAUUUGUGAUUUUAUUUAUUUGGGUCCUUUCUCUUUUCUUUUUGAGUAGUCUGGCUAGGCGAUUAUCAGUUUCAUUAAUUUUUUCGGAGAACCAUCUCCUGAUUCCAUUGACCUGUUCUAAUUUUUUUUUAGUUUGUAUAUCAUUUAUUUCUACUCUGAUCUUAUUAUUUCCCUCCUUUGGUAGGCUACUUUUGAUGUUCUGUCUCCAGCUUCUUUAGGUGUGGGCUUAGGGUGUUUAUUUGAGAGUUUUCUUGGUUCUUGAAGAAGGCUUGUAUUGCUAUAUACUUUCCCCAUAGGAGUGAGCCCAAUACGGGACUUGAUCCCAGGAUGCUGAGAUCAUGACCUGAGUGAAAUUAAGCUAUCUAGAAGAAAUGGACACAUUCCUGGAAACUUAUAAACCACCAAGACUGAAACAGGAAGAAAUAGACAAUCUAAUCAGACUCAUAACCAGGAAGGAAAUUGAAGCAGUAAUCAGAAACCUCCCAAAACACAAGAGUGCAGGGCCAGAUGGCUUCCCAGAGGAAUUCUACCAAACAUUUAAAGAAUAAUUUAUACCUAGUCUACUGCAGCUGUUUCAAAAAAUAGAAAUGGAAGGAAAACUUCUGAACUCCUUAUAUGAGGUCAACAUUACCCUGAUAUCAAAACCAGACAAAAACCCCAUCAAAAAGGAGAAUUAUGGACCAAUCUUCCUGAGAACUCUGAUGCCAAAAUACUCAACAGGAUCCUAGCCAAGAGGAUCCAACAGUGCCCUGAAAGGAUUAUUCACCACAACCAGGUGGGAUUUAUUUCUGGGAUGCAAAGGUGAUGGUUCAACAUUCACAAAUCCAUCAACGUGAUAGAACACAUUAAUGAAAGAAAAGACAAGAACUAUGUGAUCCUCUCAAUUGAUGCAGAAAAAGCAUUUGACAAAAUACAUCAUCCUUUCCUUAUUAAAAUUCUGUAGAGUGUAGGGAUAGAGGGAACAUACCUCAAUAUCAUAAAAGCCAUCUAUGAAAAACCCACAGCAAAUUCAUUCUCAAUGGGGUAAAACUGAGAGCUUUUCCCUUAAGGUUAGGAACAUGACAGGGAUACCCACUCUCACCAUUAUUGUUUAACAUAGUACUAGAAGUCCUAGCGUCAGCAAUCAGACAACACAAAUAAAUCAAAGGCAUUCAGAUUGUUAAAGAAGUCAGACUCUUCACAGAUGACAUGAUAUUUUAUGUGGAAAACUCAAAAGACCCCACCCCCAAAUUACUAGAACUCAUACAACAAUUCAGCAAUGUGGCAGGAUACAAGAUCAAUGCACAGAAAUCAGUGGCAUUUCUAUACACUAAUAAUGUAAUUGAGGAAAGAGAAAUUAAGGAAUCAAUUCCAUUUACAAUAGCACUGAAAACCAUGAGGUACCUAGGAAUAAACCUAACCAAAGAGUUUAAGGACCUAUACUCUAGAAACUGCAGAAUGCAUAUGAAAGAAAUUGAGGAAGACACAAAGAGAUAGAAAAACAUUCCAUGUUCAUGGACAGGAAGAAUAAGCUUUGUUAAAAUGUCUAUGUUACUCAGAGCAAUCUACACGUUCAGUGCAAUCCUUAUCAAAAUACCAUCGACAUUUUUCAAAGAGCUGGAACAAACAAUCCUAAAAUUUGUAUGGAACCAGAAAAGACCCUGAAUCACCAGGAGCAUGUUGAGAAAGAAAACCAAAGCUGAGGACAUUAUGAUGCCUGACUUCAAGCUAUAUUACAAAGCUGUGAUCAUUAACACAGCAUGGUAUUGGCAAAAAAAUAACAGACUCAUAUAUCAUUGGAACGGAAUAGAGACCCCAGAUAGGGACCCUCAACUCUGUGGUCAACUAAUCUUCGACAAAUCAAGAAUGAACAUCCAGUGGAUAAAAGACAAUCUCUUCAAUAAAUGGUGCUGGGAAUACUGUACAGCCACAUGCAUAAAAAUGAAACUGGACCAUUUUCUUACACCAUACACAAAGAUAAACUCAAAAUGGAUGAAAGACCUCAAUGUAAGACAGGAAUCCAUCAGAAUCCUAGAGGAGAACAUAGGCACUAACCUCUUUGACAUUGGCCACAGAACUUCUUUCAAGACAUGUCUCUAGGCAAGGGAAACAAAAGCAAAAAUGAAGUUUUGGGACUUCAUCAAGAUAAAAAGCUUCUGCACAGCAAUGGAAACAACAAAACUAAGUGGCAACCCACGGAAUGGGAGAAUAUCUACAUAUGACAUUCCAGAUAAAGGGCUGGUAUUUAAAAUCUAUAAUUUUCUCAAACUCAACACCCCCAAAAAAACAAAUAAUCCAGUCAAGAAAUGGGCAGAAGACAUGAACAGACAUUUCUUCAAGAAAACAUAGAAAUGGCUAACAGGCACAUGAAAAAAUGUUCAACAUCACUAGUUAUCAAGGAAAUACAAAUCAAAACCACAGUGAGAUACCACCGUGCACCAGUUAGAAUGGCUAAAAUUAACAAGACACAUAACAACAAAUGUUGAUGAGGUUAUGGAGAAAGGGGAACCCUCUUACACUGUUGGUGGGAAUGUAUGCUGGUACAGCCUCUUUGAAAACAAUAUGGAGGUUCCUCAAGAUUUUAAAAAUAGAGCUACCCUAUGACCCAGCAUUUGCACUACUAGGUAUUUAAUCCAAAGAUACAGAUGUAGUGAAAAUAAGGGGCACUUUUACCCCAGUGUUCAUAGCAGCAAUGUCCAUGAUAGCCAAACUGUGGAAGGAGCCUAGAUGCCCUUCAACAGAUGAAUGGAUUAAGAAUAUGUAGUUAAUUUGGAAUAUUACUCAGCCAUUAGAAAGGAUGAAGACCCACCAUGUGCAUCGACAUGAAUGGAACUGGAGGGCAUUAUGCUAAAUGAAAUAAGUCAAGCAGAGAAAGACCAUUAUCAUUUGGUUUCACUCACAUGUGGAACAUGAGGAAUAGCGUGGAGGACCACAGGGGAAGGGAGGAAAAACUGAAUGAGAAGAUAUUAGAGAGGCUGACAAACCAUGAGAGACUCUGGACUCUGGGAACCAAAGUGAGGGCUACAGAAGGGAGGGGGCAGGUUGAUGGGUAACUGGGUGAUGACUAUUGAGGAGGGCUUGUGUCGUGAUGAGCACUGGGUGUUAUAGGCAACUUAUGAAUCAUUGAACACUAUCAAAAACUAAUGAUGUACUAUCUGUUGGCUAACUGAACAUAAUUAAAAAAAAAAGAAAACGGGGUUUUAGAGGGGAGGGGGGAGGGGAGAUUGGUUAGCCCGGUGAUGGGUAUUAAGGAGGGCAUGUACUGCAUGGAGCACUGGUUGUUAUACGAAAACAAUGGAUCGUGGAUCACUACAUCAAAAACUAAUGAUGUAUUGUAUGGUGACUAACAUAACAUAAUAAAAUUAAAAACAAUUAAAAAAAAUAAAGCUUGUUUUCAACAACAACAAAAAAAAAACGAAGAAAAAACAGAAGGCACUUAUCAUUUCUCCACCUCAAAGAAUAAACCCCCUGUGUUGUGGAUACCAAAAACAAACAAAAACGUAAGUUGGUAAAUUUAAGAAUGUAGUUGAAUCCAGGAAAAGGUUAAAAAAUGAAAGAAAGAAGGAAAUGGAAAAUUUUAGCCUAAGGAUAAAUGAUUCAUGAGAAACACCUAGAGCUCAGUAUAUUAUUUUCCCGUGGUGCUGGAGUUUUACAGUAUGUGGCAUCCAUAAGCUUGUCAUUCACCUGUUCUUCUAGUCAGUUUUCUGGGGGUGGAGACUACCGUGCUGGUUCUCAGAUAUCUUUGCCUGGGUGGAGUUGUCCCACCCGUUGUCAGAGGGAUGCUGUCAAUGUAAGCUGGUCGUUUGUAAGGCUUUUUUUUCCCUGGAGGCUUUCCACACCUCUUCAGAGGGUCAAAGCAAAAAUGGCCAGGCCCAGACCCCCAGCCCAGAGCCACAAGAUCGCAGUCCCCCCUCUUCAAUAAACCCUACAGGUAAAAGAAUCUCCACUUCUGUGUGUCACAAACUCUGCAGACUCUUGCAGUUUGCGCCCACUGAAAUCCUCCUGGGGGGUGUCCCUGGGACCCACGAGCAUCACUGUGCUUUGUGUCUUUGCAACUUUGAGUGGUUGUGGGCUCAUGCACUCACCCUGCUCUGCUGCUCCCACGUCACGGCUGGGUGCUUCCCUACAGUCCUUUCCGGGGCCACCACUGCUCUGAGAUCUGUUGCCUAGUCAUGGGUGCAGCCAUUUUGUCCUUCCCAGGGGAUGGUAAAUAGCCCGCACCUUCCAGUCCUUUUCCAGGUGCUCAGGCAAACAGCGGUCUCCCUACGGUUGUGGUUUAUGGCAACCUGAGCUGAGAGCCCCUCCUAGUCUCACUGACCAUAAUCAGUUUCCCCUCUCCACUGCUUGGACACUGUAUUGGUUCAGGCACCCCCAUUCUUUCUGUGUCUCUCAGGAUCCUGACACCACAAUGUCCCACCUAGAUUUCUGCCCUUUUCAUCCCCUGAGCCCCUUUCAGAAAGGGAUGUUUCUCACUGGAGCAGAUUUCUAAGGGUUCUGAUUUUGCACUCUGGUGUUACAUCACUUUUUGGUAACCAGCUUAUAGAGCCUCCUUCCCCUCUCUGUUUAUCUUCUGAUAUUUCCCUGCAGAUUCACGACUCCACACCACCUACCUUGCAAAAAGCAGUCAUUUUUCUGCUUGUAGAGUUCCAGAUAAAUUUUCUUAUGUCUCAGGCUGAAUUCAUGGGUGUUCAGAAUGGUUUGAUAGUUAUCCAGCUAAAUUCGAGGGACUAGAUGAAACCAGGUCCUUUACUCUGCCAACUUGCUUCCCUCCUCAUUCAAUGUAAUUAUUGAUGGAUGUAUAUUUAUUGCCAUUUUAUUACUUGAUUUCUCACUUCUGGAGAUUUUCUCUGAUCUUGUCUUUGUCACUUUGGUGACAGAUUGUCAACUUUGCACUCAAAGUGUCCCCUUUAAUAUUUCUUGCAGGGCUGGUUUAAUGGUCAUGAUUUCGUUUAGAUUUAGAUUUUGUUUGUCUGGGAAACUGUUUAUCUCUCCUUCUAUUCUGAAUGACAGCCUGGCUGGAUAGAGUAUUCUUGGCUGCAGAUCUUUCCCAUUCAGAACUUUGAAUAUACUCUACUUCACUCUUACUUGGAAAGUUUCUUUGGGAAAUCUCCAGCUAACCUUAUGGGUUUUCCCUUGUAAGUUAAGGGCUUCUAUGCCUUGCUGCUUUUAAGAUUUGUUCUUUAUCACUAAAUUUUCAAAUUUAAUUGCAAUAUGUCUUGGUGUUGGCCUGCUUUUGUUGAUUUUGAUAGGAGUUGUCUGUGCCUCCCAGAUCUAAGUGUUUGUUUCCCUCUCCAGAUCAGGGAAAUUUUCAGCUAUUAUUUCUUCAAAUAAAUUCUCUGCCCUUUUUCUUUCUCUUCUCCUGGGACUCUUAUUAUACAAAUGUUAUUACGUUUGAUGGUCAGUGAGUUCCCUAUGUCUAUUCUCAUGUUGCAUAAUUCUUCUCUCUUUUCUCUUCAGUGUCAUUACUUUCCUUUUUUUGUCUUCUAGGUCACGAAUUCAUUCAUUUGCUUCUUCCAGCCUGGUGUACAUUGCAUGAAGCCUGUUACAAAUCUUGUUUAUUGAACUCUUCAUCUCUAAUUGAUUCUUUUAUCUAUUUUCUCUCUGUGUUAAGGGUCUAACUGAUGCCUUCUAUUCUUUUCUCAAGCCCACUGAGUAUCUUUAUGAUUGUUAUUUUAAAUUCUCCAUCAGUUGUUUAUAUCAGCAUUAUCAACAACAGCCAAAUUAUGGAAAGAGCCCAAAUGCGCAUUGACUGAUGAAUUGAUAGAUGAUGUGAUAUACAUAUAUGUGUGUGUACAUGUAUAUGUGUCUAUAUUCACACGUAUGUGUAUAGUAUAUACAUUGGAAUAUUACUCAGCCUUAAAAAAGAAUGAAUCCUUGCCACUUCCAACAUCGUGGAUGGAUCUAGAGAGUAUUAUGCUAAGUGAAAUAAGUCAGAGAAAGAUAAAUACCAUGACUUCACUUAUAUGUGGAAUUUCAGAAACAAAAGAGUUGAAUAUAGUUGGGUAAAAGAGAAGCAAACUAUGAAACAGAUGCUUAACUAUAGAAAACAAACAGGAUUACUAGAAAGGAUGUUGGUGGGGGAUGUGUUAAAUAGGUGAUGAUUAUUAAGGAGGACUCUUGUGAUUAGCACUGGUUGUUUUAUGUAAGUGAUGAACCACUAAAUUCUAUACGUAAAACUAAUAUUACACUGUAUGUUAACUAACUGGAAUUUAAAUAAAAACUUGAAGGAAAAAAAAUUCUCCAUCAGGUAUGUUACUUUCAUCUGUUUUACUUAUAUCUCUGGCUGUGGUCUUGUUUUUUUCAUUUUGGAUAAAUAUUUCCUUCUUUGCAUUUUGUCGAAAUCUCUGUAUUUUUCUCUGAGCUAUGUUAAGCCAGAUAUGUUUCCUGCUUCUGAAAGUAGGGCCUUGUGAGUAAGAGGUCAUGUAGUGCCCAAGGCCUGGUGUUUCAGGGAGUGUCUCUGGUGUGUGCUGCGUGUGCAUUGCUCUUGUGUUUUGGCUGCUUUAUCCUUCAGGGCAAUCGGCAGAGGCUCUCUGUGUCUGCUGUGGGCAGUGUUUGGACUCUGGCCUGAAUGUGGUGUGUUUUAACUAGGUGUGCUGUGUUCUGCUUGUUAAAUGAGUUCUGACAUCACCUCCACUGUAGCUGAGGCCCUGCAGAACUCUCUGUUUGGGAGACAUGGUGUGGGCGGGGAGUAUGCUGGUCUUCUGGGGGAAUGGGCCCACCAUGCUGGGACUGAGGCAAAUUUGACUGAGAAGGGCCGUCUCACCAGAGUGGAGCCUGGUGUAUGCAAGCUGUGCAGCCAGUUUGGGCAUUGCUCUGCUUUCCCCAAGUGGCUCUGUGUUUAUGCUGAGGGGUGGGGUUAGGAAAUGGUGCUGGUCAGCUCCUAUAUUCCUGAAGAGGUGUCCUUGUGAACACUGCCUCUCACAGACAUGCUCCAAGAAGAAGAAAUAAUGUUCCCACUGUGUGCCCCAGGUGCUCUUCAGAUUGCUGUCUCCAUGCUCUCUGCCCCUGUGUUGUUUGCUUGCCUUCUCUUCUUCAAGUGCAGCCCACUGCCCUCUGGGUUUUAUCCCAGCCAAGCCCACUGCCCUUUAAAGCUUGAGGCUUUAGGCCCCUCUGGUUGCAAGAAUUCACCAAAUUCAGCCCCUCUCAUUUCCAAGCCAAUGGCUUUAGGUUAACAUUCUCCUUAUGAGUUGCCCUGUGUGCCCCCCUCUCUCUCUCACCCUUCUCUGCAACCAUGGCUUCCCUUCUACAUCACCCAUGAUCUGUUUCUCCCUUAAACCAUAUCUCCACACUUCCUACCUUUUUUGAUGUGGCAUAUUUUCUUCCUUUAGUUUUGGAGUUUGUUCUGUCAGUCUUUAGGCCAAUUUAUGGAGUAUUUAGAAUGAUUUGAUAGCUAUCUCAUUGUGUUCAUGGGACAAGGUGAGCCUAGGAUCCUCCUACUCUGCCACCAUCUUUCUCUCCAAGCCUACUGUAGUAUAUUUUUAAUUUUAGUUAUUGAGUUCUUCAUUUCUGAUUGGUUCUUUUUUAUCUUUUCUAUCUCUUUUUGAGGGUCUCACUGAGAUCCUCCACUCUUCUUAAGUCCAGUCAGUAUCUUUGUGACCAUUACUUCAAAUUUUCUAUCAAGCAUAUUGCUUAUCUCUAUUUCAUUUAGUUCUCUUGGUGUGUUUUUUUUUUUUUCUUGUUUGUUCAUUAGGGACACAGUCCUCUGUCUCCUGUUUUCAUGUAACUUUCUGUGUCUGCUUCUAUGUUUUAGGAGAGUCUUCUAACACCCUUAUGUCCCCUGCUCUUCAAAGUAGUGGCUUUAUGAAGAAGAAGUCCUGUAGUACCCUACAGUGCAAUAUCCACUGUUCGUUAGGACCUGGUGAUUUAGGACUGUCUCCUAUGUGUGUUGCUGCCCCCUACUUUUGUGGAUUAGCUCUGUUUGCCUUCAGACCCAUGCUCCGCAGUGGCUCCGUUUGCCUGCUGUGGACCAGAUUUAUUCCCUGGUAUACUGUAUGGGGCCAGCCUGGGGACUCCUUGGGCUUACAUUGGUUCCAGCCAGAUGUUUGCCAGAGUUGUGGUUGUAGCAAACUGCAGGGUGCUCUUCCUCUGUUGUUCCCUGAGAGGCUUUCAUUGAUGGGUGAGGACUGCAGUCAAUUCAAAUGACUGCGCCCAGUCAGCUGCUGGGGCUUCUGCCCUUAGUCACCUUAGAGUGUUGCCGGGCACCUUUCAGGCUGGUUGCAGAAUGCCACACUUGUGGCAUGGCUUUGGAUAAACCCUAAAUUUAUUGUGCUGAGUGGAGUGGGUUGAGUGAGGCAUAUGCACAGGAGGGUGCUGGGGUGUGUUGCACUCUUAGGAAGGUUUGCUCUGGUCUGCUUGUGGGUGAUGACCUGAUGCUGUUUUGGAGAACUCCUGUGGAGAGCAGGUUGGAUGAAGCAGGUCUGUAUGAGAACAUGGAGGCACAGCAUAUUGCUAGCAAGCAAGUUGGAGAGUGUUUGCUCUGGUUCCUACAGCUGUCUGUGCAUCUAGGCUGGGGGUUGACGGAGAGAAAUGGUUCCCACCAGUGCUUUUCAUUUUGGAGAAGUUUCCUAAAGACUCCUCCCUUUCCUAUACAUGUUCUGAGAUUAGUAAACAAAUCUCUUUCCCGUAUACUAUGCUGAUGCUCCUAUACUUUAUCUUAGUGGGAUUGUUUGUUAUGCUAUUUCUUUAAGGGUGGGGACUCAGUUUCCUAUUGUUCUCAUGUUCUCCCAGAGCUGACCCUACUGAUUUUUUUAAAUUUCUUUAAAAUUCCUGGUGUUAAGCCUCACUGAUUAUAAAAACUCUCUCGAAGUUAAGCCACUCUGGUUUUCAAAGCCGAAUGUUAUACUGAUUUGUCUUUCAGCCUGGGGUGCCUUGUGUGGGGUCUUCUCCUUUUCCUUUUCUGUACUUGCAGUAUCCCUCCUUCCCCUGGUCAGUCUCACAGGUCACUUUGUUUCACAACCAGUUCUGUGCCCUUCCUGCUGUUUUUGAUGUGGCCUCUUCUCUACAGUUAGCUUUGGAGAGUCUGUUCUGGCAGUCUUCAGGUUGUGUUCUGAGUUAUUUACACUGAUGGUGUUAUAUAGCUGGAUCUGUGGGGUGAGGUGAGCUUAGGAUCCUCCUACUCUGCCAUCCUCCCCAGAACUCCUUCCUAUACUACUUUAGAUUGAUCAUUUUUAAAAGGAAAAUAUGAUAUGGUCAAGUUCUUUUCUUGGUAAUCUUCCUUCCUGACGUGUUAUCAUUUCAUCGCAGUGUUUUGUUUUUCUUGGAAGUGCACCAACUUUUCUUGCAUUGAUUUCAUAUAAGUUUUCUACUAUUGCCAUAACAAAUUUAUCACAAAUGUAGGGGCUUAAAACAAUACAUUUACUAUUUUACCAUUGUGUAGGUCAGAAAUCUGGUACAGGUCUCAUUGGAUGAAAAUCAAGUUAUUGGCAAGCUGCAUUCCUUUCUGGAGGGUCUAGGGGAAAAUUCAUGUCUUACUCAUUUGGUUGUUGGCAGAACUCAAUUUCUCAUGACUGUAAGUCUAGAAUCUCUGUUUCCUUGCUAGCUGUCAACUGAGGGCUGUUCUCAGUUUCAAGAGUUCACCUUCAUUAUUUGGCUUGUUGUGUCCUUUUUCCAUCUUCAAAGCCAACAAUAGAUUGUGUCCCUCCUACCAUAGAAUUUCUACACUUUCUUUCUUUUUUAUUCCUGAGAGAUAUUUUGGGAAUUUACAUCACCUAGGAUGUAUGUAUAUGUUUGAAAAUGUUGCACUAAAAAAGAUAUAUAGUGACACCAAAGGAAAGUAAGAUUAUUUUUCUUCUAAAAAGAAUGGUUAUAUGACUCACUUUUGAGGAAAAAAAUGUGGAACAAAAGCAUUUUUAUGUUGUUAUAAGACAUUUUUUUCUGAAAUCACAGAACCUGUGUUCAAAUAUGAUUUCUUUAUUUUCUGAUUAUAUCACUUGAAGCAAGUCAUUGAACUUUUGAGUCCAAUUUUCACUUCUAUAAAUGAGGAUAAUGAAUACCUGUCACAGUUUAUUUAUAGGCUAUAAAUAUUAAGUGACAUAAGUAAAUUAAAAAAAAAUUGUAUGCAAUUUUAGUUUUGGCAGAGCUCCCAAAUCAGUGCAUCAUCUCCUCUAAGCUACCAAAGUCAGCCAUGACACCACCACAUUUGAUCUGCAAAAAGGUGAAAGAAAACAAUUUUUCUAUUACCCUCAACUACAGAGUAUAUAAAAUUGUCCUCAUGAAAAUAAAUAAAUAAGUAAAUAAAUAGUGUCCUCAUGGAUAAUAGAUGCAGAGAUUUUUCUGCAUAUGGAAUGUAUAUACCCCACACCCUCUAAUAAGGAUGGGUAUUGAUGGGGUUUUUAAUCCUCAUCUCACAAUUUUUUUCAUCUUUAUUGAUGUUUAAUUGGCAAAUAAAAUUGUAAGAUAUUUAAAGUGUACAUCAUGGUGACUUGAUAUAUAUAUACAUUGUGAAAAGAUUUCCACCAUCUUGUUAAUUAAGACACCCAUCACCUCACAUAUUUAUUGGGUUUUUUUGGUGAGAACAUUUAAAUUCUACUCUCUUAGCAAAUUUCAAUUAUACAAUACAUUGGUAUCAACUAUAAUCAUCAUGUUUUACAUUAAAUCCUCAGACCUUGUUCAUCUUAUAGUUGAAAGGUUGUAUCCUUUGACCAACGUCUUCCUAUUUCCCCCACUCCCCAACCCCUGGCAACUACUUUUAUAUUCUUUGUUUCUAGGAGUUUGACUUUUUUUUAAAUUCCAUAUAUAAAUGAUACCAUGCAGUAUUUGUCUUUCUCUGUCUGGCUUAUUUCACUUAGCAUAAUGCCCUCAAGGUCCAUCCAUGUUGUCACAAAUGGCAACGUUUCCUUCUUUCUCAUAGCUAAAUAUUUAUAUGUAUGUGUGUGUGUGUGUAUUUAUUUGUGUGUGUGUAUCAUGUCUUCUUUAUCCUUCUGGCUACUGAUUGACACUUAAGUUAUUUCCAUAUCUUGGCUAUUAUGAAUAGUGCUGCAAUGAACACUGGAGUGCAACUGUCUCUUCAAUAUUCUGUUUUCAUUACCUUAUGUACCUAUAAGUCUCCAUUUUCUUUUUCUUUUUCUUUUUCUUUUUUGUCUUUACAUCUCUCUCUGGCUCAGCUGGGGAAAAAUCCUCUGCUUUUAAGGAAUUAUGCAAUUAGUGUGCGUGCACCCAGGUAAUACAGAAUAAUCUCCCCCAUCUCAAGGCCUUUAACUUAAUCACAUCAUCAAAGUUCUUUCCAUGUAAGGUAACGUAGUAGUUGUAGGUUCUGGGAAUUAAGGUGUGGACAUUUUUGGGUAGUCAUCAUUCUGCUUACCUGAGACAGCCUGUUCUUGUUGGAGGAUGAAGAUAGAUGGUGGGAAGAGCUACACAUCAUAUGAUUUUCUUAGAUCAGAGAGAAUGAAGCUAGAUCAGCAAGCUGGAGCUUUUAACCUUGUGUGACAUGCUAGGUAAGCUUAAAAUAAAGCUAGGAAAUGGGAAGUCGUUGAAGAUUUUUUAAGGAGGGUACUAUAUUCACAUUCAUGUUUUAUAUAGAUCAUACUAGUGAGCCUAUGGAAAAUGGUGUAGAAAGAGAUUGGGGUAAGAAGACCAUUUAAAAUGUUUUUGUAAUAAUCCUGACAAGUAAUGGUGAAAGCCUGAAGUCAGUCAGUCAUAGAGGAAUGGAUUUCAGAAAGGUUGAUGAAAUAUUACUGAUUAGUUGGUAUAAUCAAUCAGGGAUCAACCAGAGAAACAGAACCAGUAAGAGAUAUAUAUUAAAAAUGUAUUCAAGGAAUUGGCUUAUGUGAUUGCAGGGACUGACUAGAUGAGUCUGAAAUCCAUAGAGCAGUCCCUCAGGAAUGCAGAAUGAAACUUUCUGGCAUGGGCUGAAGCUAGCGUUCAGAGGUGAGGUUUCUUCAGGGAAGCCUCAUUCUGCUCUUAAGACCUAUCAGCUGAUUGAAUUAGGUCCACCCACAAUUUAUGGGAUAAUCUCCUUUACCUAAAUGAGAUCACAGACAUUAAUUACAUCUACAAAAUGGCUUUACAGCAACAGCUAGAUCAGUGCUUGAUUGAAUAACUGGGGUAUCUAGUCUAGCCAAGUAUACAUAUAUAAAAUAUCAAAGUUGUAAGAGAUAUAGAAAAAAAAUUAUAUACAUAUAUGUGUGUGUAUAUAUAUAUAUAUAUAUAUCCUACAACUUUUGAUUAUCCCAUUGGUUGUUUGUAUAGAUAAAAAAUCUGUAUUGAUCCGGGCCUUGACUCAAACUUCAUUUUAUAUACAAAGAAGAAAGUUUUAAUACACACUGACUUUUCCAAGAAUGCAUCUACCAUGUAAACCAACAUAAGAUCUUACUUUGUUUUGUUCAGAAUGUUACCAAGAACGUUCAUCAUUUUGGAAAAUCAUUUCACCUACAAAAUACUGCUCUUGGAUAUUUGAAAUAAUAGUAAUAACAGAGCUGUAUCAGUCAGCAUUUAUAGCUAUUACAUUUACAGGCAUUCUCUGUAUACUUGUCUGCAUAUGUCUUUUAGUGUUGUCAUGCCCCAGCAUUUCCAUAUUGAAAUACAUUUUGUUUCCUCAUAAACUACUUUCUUUGUAUUUCUCUUUCAUAUUAUAGAUACCAUAUUUUUGGUAUCAUGUAUAUUUUAUUUCCAUAUCAUAAAAUAGGCAUUAAAAUAUUUAAGAAACAGGGCCAGAUAGACUUGAGAAACGCUAAUUUAGAGGAAAGAAGAUAAGAAUGGGUGAAAAUGUUGAAAAAUUUCAUGUAGAGAUGCAGGAACUUGUUAGAAGGGCUGUGCAUUAUGCUUUGUGGUAGAGGUUACCAUAGCUCUAAUUGCCAGAUUUAGUGAAUAGCUUUUAGCUUUUAUCGUGACUCUCUGUAAUAUUUAAAAUUCUCUCCUCUUUUCCUUUUUAUGACAUCCUUCUUCAGUUCUUCUCUUACAUAUCUGGCCUUUGUUUCUCACUCUUUUUCUGAGUACUCCUCUGCCUGGAUCUUUAGAUUUGGUGAUUCCUAAAUCUCCCUGUUUGAAUUCUCAAUUCUCCUUGGCAAUCUCACCCAUGCCUUGGGUCUAAUUAAACAUACAUAUGCAGAUGUUUCCCAAAUCUGUACCACCAGCACAAGCCUUUAUGCCAAGCUUCAGACUCAUAAAGCGAACUGCCUGCUAACUUUUUCUAUGUGGAUGCCUUUCCAGCACCUCAAAACUGAACAUAGCCAAAACUGAACUCUUCAUUACUCCACCAGCAGCACCAUAAACCUCUUUCUUAUUCUUGUUGGUACUAAUAUUCCCAAGGAAAAACAACUAGGACAUCAUGUCAUAUUUCUCUUUUUUUACCUCCACUUUUUAAUCUGAUGCAAAAUCAUAAUGAUCAUUCCUUCAGAAUAUCUCAUGAAUUUGUCUUCUAUUCCAUUUCCUAAACUCCAUUCCAGUACCCUAGUUUAGACCCUUACCAUUUCUCCUGAUGACAAUAAUAAUUUCAUAACUGAAUCUACUGCCUCCACUACUGCCUGAUGACUUUGGUACAGUCUCUAGAAUAAAUAUCUAACCACAUUGUUUCUCUACUUAAAAUCCUUCAAUGACUUUCUAUUUCCGAUGAUAGUCUUAGUGUGGCCUAAAAGAUUCUCUAUGGCAUGUCUCUUACUUAAACUGGUCUUCUGCUAAUCCCUACACUCCACCCCAAACUUAUAUAAUCCUUUUCUUAUAUUUUAUGUUUCACCAGGGUUUCCUUGAACCUAUGUUUGACUCCCAUUUAAUUGUAUAUUUGUUUUUCUCUAAUAUCUUCAUAUCUUUUACCUCAUGAACUUCAUUCUUCAAAGUCCUGCUCAGUUGUCUUAGCCUUAAGAAAAUUUUCUUUUAUUUCCUGUUCUUUGUCUCUAGAAGGGAUUACUUCCUCUUUGCUACUUCUCUGCCUGAUAUUUAUCUAUUAUUGUACAUAUCAUAUACAGGCUUGGUAGAUGCACAUUGAUACAUAUUGAAAUCUCAAUAUAGCAUCUUUCCAUCUUGUUGAUUAGGAAUGUAAAAGAUAAAAUACACAAUAGAAGUUCAUAGGUUUGUUUCUUUUGUAUUGCUUAUUAAUUGAUAUAUAACUCAUAGUAAAGCACAUAAAUCUUAAGUAUAUAGCUCUGAUGAUUUUGUACCCAUAUUAAAUAUUCAUGUAAUCACCACCUAGAGCAAAAUAUAGAACAUUUUCAGUAACCCAGAAGGUUCAUUUGUACUCCUUCCAAGUCAGUACCCUCAAGAAGUAACCACUAUUCUGACUUCUAUCACCAUCUAUUAGUUUUGCCUGUGCUUCAACUUUAUAUACAUGGAGUCACAGACUACGUGUUCUUUGCUCAGACAGGUUUUUAUAAAAACCUUAGAACUUUGGUGCACUCUAAUGUUGUCUAUGAGGAAAGAGAUUCUGAAAGCCUAUGAGAGGAUGUUCCAAGAAUGAGGCAAGGCUUCAACAACUCCUGAAUUACAAAGAUCAGAAAGUCUAUGAACAUUUGAAUGGGUGCCCUCACUAAAAUAAAAUAUUGUAGCAGAUAUAUAUUAACAAGAACAAGGAAAAAUGAAAUCUCAAGAAUUUUGAAGAAACUAUAGAGGAAGAGAUCCUCAAAAUUUUCUAGAAAAGAAGAGAUGUUAAUUUGGAACUAAUUCAGUUCUAUUCAGUCAGCACUUACUGAGAACUUCUGUGUGUCAGGCACAGAGAGUACUAAACUGUACCUGCCCUUGAAGACUACACAGUCUAGUGCUGGAGACAGAAUCAUCUUCUAAGGGAGAUUUGAAUUAAAUAUACAUUAUCAGUGGGAGACACUCAAAUGAAGAAAGUUGACGAGGUGUAUUUCAUUUUCAGCCAUGAUUAAUUUGAGAUACCUGUGGGACAUUGGGGUGUAGAUGGUCUUUAGAAUAUCAGAAUUAUAGACAAGGGAUGCAGAUUUGGAUACUAUCAGCAUAUAGAUGGGAAUUAUGAGUACUUGAAUGGGAGCUGAAGUCAUGAGGAAUGUAUACUGUGAGACAAGACAGUGAAAAUGGAAUUCUGAAGAACACCAAUGUUGAAAAGACUAUGGAGAGGAAGAGGAUCCUGCAAAUGAAACUGCAUAGCCAAAGAAGGAAGGAGAACAGAACAUGAAGUGUCCUAAAAAAAAAAAUAAUAAUAAUGAAGUGUCCUAUAACCUAAGGGAAAAGAGUAUCUCAAGAAAGAGGAGGUAAUCAACAGUGUCAACAUGUUUUUGUAAAAGACUUUAAAGUGUCCAUUGGUGUUGGGAAUGGAAGGGAGAGAACAAUCAUUGACUCUAUCAAAGGAGGUCCUUGAUUUGGCAUGUAAGAAAUAAAAAAAAGAUUGUAGUGGUUUGAGGAGUGCAUAGAGGAAGAGUGGGGAAGUGGUCAAAGAGAAUGCAGACAGUGCUUUCAAGAAAUUGAGAUAUGAUACAUAGGAAGAAGGAGAGAUAUUUAUAAUAAGGGGAACAUAAAGUUAAAUGAAACUUUGUUUUGAAGGAAAAGACUUGAGAAUAUUAAAUAUUCAUGGGAAUGUCAAAUAGGGAGAAGCAGAAGGGACAGGAAAAAGUGGGUAUAAUUAAUGGUUUGAGGGAGGUGAGAUCAAGUGCAGAGAUGGAAGAAUAUGCCUUAGGAGAGGAGAAAACUGAAGGGAGAAAUAGACAAUAAUAGUGGAGGACAUAAAUACUCCACUUUCAGUAAUGGGUAGAAUAUGUAGACAGAUCAAUAAAGAAAUAGCAGACUUACCUGCAGAUUGAAAGUGAGGAGAUGGAGAAACAUUUAUCAUGGACCUCAAAAGAAAGUGGAGGUAGCAGUACUUCUAUCAGGCUAACUAGAUUUUAAAUCAAACACUGUAAUAAGACAUGAAGAAGACUACUAUAUCAUAAUAAAGGGAACUAUCUAACAGGAUAUAACAAUUGUAAAUAUUUAUGUACCCAACAUGGAAGCAACCAAAUAUAUAAUAUAGUUAAUAAUGAACAUAAUGGAACUCAUUAAUAAUAAUAUAAUAAUUCUAAGCAACAAUAACAGCCCACAUUCCUCAAUGGACAGAUCAUCUAAGCAGAAAAUCAACAAGGAAACAAUGGCUUUAAAUGACGCACUGGACCAGAAGGACUUAACAGAUAUAUUCAGAUCAUUCCAUCCCAAAGCUGCAUUCUUGUCAAGUGCACAUGGGAUGUGCUCCAAAAUAGAUCUCAUAUUAGGUCACAGAUCACACCUAAAAAAGUACAAAAAGACUGAGAUCAAACCAUGCAUAUUUUCUGACCAUAAUGCUAUGAAACUUGAAGUCAACCACAAGAAAAAAUUUAGAAAUACCAGAAAUGCAUGGAGGUUAAACAACAUUCUACAAAACAGUGAAUGGGUCAACAAGGAAAUCAAAGAAGAAAUAAAUACAAGGAACUAAAUGAAAAUGAAAACACAAUGGUCCAAAACAUUUGGAAUGCAGCUAAAGCUGCUGAAAGUAUAUUGUAAUACAAGCCUACUUCAAGAAGCAAGAAAAAUCUCAAACUACCUAACCUUAUACCUAAAGGAGCUAGAAAAAGAACAUCAAAUGAAGCCUAAAGCCAGCAGAAGAAUAGAAAUAAUAAAGAUUAGAAAAGAAAAAAAUGAUGUAGAAACAAAAAAAAAAAUCAAAAACAAAAAACCAACAGAACAGAUCAAUGGAAUCAAAAGGUGAUCCUUUGAAAAAAAUAAUAAAAUUGAUAAACCCCAGCCAGACUUACCAAAAAGAAAAGAUAAAGGACCCAAGUAAAUAAAAUCAUAAAUGAGAGAGGAGAAAUAACAAGCAACACUACAGAAAUACGUACAAUUAUAAGAGAAUAUGAUGAAAAACUAUAUGCCAACAAAUUGGGCAAUGUGGAAGAAAUGGAUAAAUUCCUAGAAACAUAUAAACUACUAAAAUUAAAACAGGAGGAAACAGAAAACUUGAACAGACUGAUAACCAGCAAAGAAAUUGAAUCAACAAUCAAAAAUCUCCUAGAAACAAAGUCCAGGGCUAGAUGACUUCACCGGUGAAUUCAAGAAAACAUUAAAAGAGGAGUUAAUAUCUGUGCUUCUCCAAAUAUUGGAAAAAAUAGAAAUGGAAGUAUAACUUCCAAUUUCAUUCUGUGAGGCCAGCAUUAUCCUUAUAACAAAACCAGCCAGACUCAACAGAAAAAGAGAACUAUAUAGGCCAAUACCCUUGAUGAACAUGGAUGCAAAAAUUCUCAAUAAAUUAAUAGUGAAUUGAAUCCAACAGUACAUUAAAAGAAUCAUCACCAUGAUCUAGUGGCAUUUAUUCCUGGGCUGCAAGGGUGGUUCACUGUUCAAAAAUCAAUCAUUGUGAUACACCAUAUUAAUAAAAGAAAGGAAGAAAAAACAUAUGAUCCUUCCAAUAGAUGCAGAAAUACCAUUCACAAAGUACAACAUCCAUUCAUGAUAAAAACUGUCAACAAAAUAGGGACAGAGGGAACAUAGCUCAACAUCAUAAAAGCCGUAUACAAGAGACCCAUAGCUAAUAUCAUCCUCAAUGGGGAAAAACUGAGAGCUUUUCCUUUUUGGCCAGAAACAAGACAAGGAUGGCCACUCUCAGCAUUGUUAUUUAACAUAGCAUCAGAAGUCCUAGCCACAAUAAUCAGACCAAAAAAAAAAAAUCCAAAUUGGUAAGGAAGAAGUAAAACUUCCACUAUUUGUAGAUGACAUGAUACUCUAUAUAGAAGACCCGUCACUCUACCAAAAAAAAACUGCUAGAAAUGAUAAAUGAAUUUAGUAAAGUUGUAGGACACAAAAUCAACAUGCAGAAAUCUUUUGCAUUUUUAUACACCACUAAUGAAGCAGCAGAAAAAGAAAUCAAGGAUCAGUCCCACUUAUAAAUCACCAAAAACAAUGAGACACCUAGGCAUAAACCUAACCAAAGAGGUGAAAGACCUUUAUUCUGAAAACUGUAAAACACUGAUGAAAAAAAUUGAAAAUGACACAAAGAAAAGGAAAGUCAUUCCAUGCUCAUGGAUUAGAAAAAUAAACAUUGUUAAAAACGUCUACACAAAGCAGUCUACAUAUUUAAUGCAAUCUCUAUCAAAAUACCAACAGAAUUUUUCACAGAACUAGAAAAACAAUCAUAAAAUUUGUAUGGAACCACAAAAAAAUCCUGAAUAGCCAAAGCAACGUUGAAAAAGAAGAAGGAGGAAACAAAAAGCAAACCUGGCGGCAUCACAGUUCCAGACUUCAAGUUCUCUUACAAAGGUAUAGUGAUCAAAACAGUAUGGUACUGGCACAAAAAUAGACACACAUGGAACAGAAUAGAAGUCCAAGAAAUGAACCUAUAACUAUAUGGUAUUUAAUCUGACAAAGCAGGAAAGAAUAUCCAAUGGGCAAAAGACAGUCUCCUCAAAAAAUGGUUUUGGGGAAACUGGACAGCAACAUGUAAAAUAAUGAAAGUGGACCACAUUGUUACACUAUACACAAACAUAAAUUCAAACUGGAUGAAAUACCUAAGUGUGAGACAAGAAACCCUUAAAAUCCUACAGGAGAACACAGGCAGUAAGCUCUUUGUCAUUAGCUGGAGAAGCUUCUUCCUAGAUAGUGUCCUGAGGUAAGGGAAACAAAAGCAAAAAUAAACUAUAGGGAUUUCUUCAAAAUAGAAACUUCUGUACAGUGAAGUAGACAAUCAACAAAACUAAAAGGCAACCUUCAGAAUGGGAGAAGAUAUUUGCAAAUGACAUAUCUGAUAAAGCAUUAGUAUCCAAAAUACAUAAAGAAGUAAACUCAACAUCCAAAAAAUGAAUAAUCCAUAUUAAAAUAUUGGCAGAAGACAUCAGUAUUUUUUCCAAGAAGACAUAGAGAUAACCAACAGACACAUGAAAAAAUGCUCAACAUCACUCAUCAUCACGGAAAUAAAAAUAAAAACUACAAUGAGAUAUCCUUUCACACCAGUCAGAAUGGCUAAAAUUAGCAACACUAGAAACAACCAGUCUUGGAAAGUAUGUGGAGAAAGGGGAACUGUCUUGCACUCUUGUUCAGAAUGCAAACUGGUGCAGCCACUGUGGAAAAUAGUAUGGAAUUGCAUCAAAAAGUUAAAAACAUCAAUACGCUAUAUGCCAGCAAUGACACUACUAGGUAUUUACCCAAAGAACACAAAAAUACUAAUUCAGAUGUAUACAUGUACCAUGAUGUUUACAGCAGCAUUAUCUACAAUAGUCAAAUUAUGGAAAUAUCUCAAGUGUCCAGUGACUUAUGGAUGGAUAAAGAAUUGGUAUAUAUGUAUAUAGAGUGGAAUAUUACUCAGCCAUAAAAAUGAAUGAAAUCUUGCCAUUUGCAAUGAUAUCAUGGAGACCCAGAGUAUUAUCAUAAGUGAAAUAAGUGAGUCAGAUAAAGACAAAUACCAUAUGGUUUCACUCAUAUGUGGAAUUUAAGAAACAAAAGAAACAAAGGGAAAAAAGAGAUAGGCAAAUCAAGAAACAGACUAUGGAUUACAAACUGAUGGUUUCCAGAGGGGAAGGGUUAAAUAGGUGUUGGGGAUUAAGGAGUGUACUUGUGAUGAGCACCGGGUGUUGUAUGGAAGUGUUGAAUCACUGUAUUGUGUACCUGAAACUAAUACUGUUAGUUAACUAACUGGAAUUUAAAUAAAAACUUUAAAAGAAGUGUUAAAGGGCACCUGGGUGGCUCAGAUUGUUAAGCAUCUGCCUUCGGCUCAGGUCAUGAUCUCAGGGUCCUGGGAUCGAGUCCCGCAUCGGGCUUCCUGCUCCUUGGGAGCCUGCUUCUCCCUCUGCCUCUCUCUGUCUCUCAUGAAUAAAUAAAUAAAAUCUUUAAAAAAAAUAAAAAAAAAUAAAAGAAAUGUUAAAAUAUGUUAGUCUUUAUAAGAAGAGAAAAUUUGGGGCAGGAUCCAAGAAUGCAACAUAGGAAGACCUUGAACUCAUCUCCACAGAUAGACCAAAUCACCUACAUAUAGAGCAACUCCUCCAGAAGAACUGUGGUCUGACUUAACAGCUUCUCCACAACAAAGGAUAGAGGGACUACAUAGAUGAUGGCAGGAGAGACAGACACAAGGAAACUAUGAGAACCCUAUGCCCAGUUCGGUGAACUGCACCUUGGAGGUAUAGCAUUGACAGACAUAGAGCAGAUUCUCUACCCUAGGUUACAGGGGAAAACAAACAAACAAACAAACAAACAAACAAACAAACUGUGGUUUAAAAGGGCAAGUAGAAUUUAAAAGAUGCAGCCCUUCAGUAUCUGCAAAAUGCUGGGGGACCUUUGGAAUGCCAUCUGGAAUCAGAGUGGCUGGUGAGCACUAUUGUUUAUGCUCCCCCUCCACCUUGAUAACAAAGAUAAAAGCAGAAUCUGGGCACCCUCACUGGCCUAAUGUUUUAAUGAUUCCCCAGAUUCCGUGCCCAAACCAGCUUUCACCACCUUGGAGCGCAGGAAAAACAAACAAACAAACAAACAAAACAAUUGAUUUAAAAGAACAACUAAAAUAUAAAGGAAACAACCCUAGAAGUACUGUGGGGACAUCGCACUAUUGGAGGGGCUGGUGAGUGCCAUUGUUUAUGCAUCCCCUCCACCUUGAUAAUGCAGACAGGAGCAGGGUACUUACAGGCAACCUAACCAGCUGGCUGCCCUGGUGAGCCCUGGACUCCUAGCUCACAGUAGCCACAGUCAUCCCACCCAAGACAGCCCCCACCACCUACCCAAUCCCCAGCUAUCCCACCCAGGUCGCCCCAGCAUUCUGUGCAUGAGGACAUUCCUGGACAGUGCCCACUACAGCUCCAGCCAUCUCAUCAAGGCAACACAGGAGCAAAUCACCCCAGGACAACCCAGGUCCAUACCCACUUUGGAUCCAGAUGUCCUGCCCAAGGGCUCCCUGCACUGAAUGCACUAGGAACCCCCAGCCUAUACCUGCUGCAGCUGCAGCUGCUCUGCCAGAGCAAACCUGCACAGAAUGCCAAGAGACUCCCUGGCAGCAGCCCUUUUAGCUUCACCUGUCCUAUCAAGAAGCCCUUUUUAUGGAGUGCCCUGGGACCUUCCACCCUGCACCCAGUUCACCUCUAGCCAUCCCACCAGGCAGCCUCUGUGUGGACUUUCCUGGGUCAUCUCACUUGUGCCUUCUACAGUUCCAGCCAGGCAACAAAAGCUGCUAAACCAACACUAUCUACACACGGCCAGUCAUUCAAGACUAGGAGAAAUAACUGGUCCAUGUAAUUAAUAGAAACAAACAAAGUCAAAUAAAAUGAGACAUAGGAAUAUGCUCCAAAGGAAAGAAAGAGACAAAAUUUUAGAAAAUAACUAAAUGAAAUGGAGUUAAACGAUCUCUCUAAUAAAGAGUUCAAAGUAAUGGUCAUAAAAAUGGUCAUUGGAUUGGAGAGAGGAGUGGAUGAACUCAGUAAGAACUUCAAAAAAGCGAUAGAAAGUAUUAAAAAGAACCAAUCAGUUGAAGAAUACCAUAUCUGAAAUGAAAAAAAAUCCACUACAUGGAAUUGAUAGAUUAGAAGAUAUAGAAGUACAGACUAGGAAUCUGUAAGAGAGAGCUCUGGAAAGUGACCAAACUGAACAGCAAAAAUGCAAAAAAAAAAAAAAUUAAAAAUGAGGAAAGUUUCCUUCUGAGACAGCAUCAAGUGUAUUAAUAUUCUAAUUAUACAAGUUCCAGAAGGAGAAGUGAGAGAGAAAGGGGCAGAAAGCUUAUUUGAAGAAAUAAUGGCUGAAAACUUCCAUAGUCUGGAGAAAGAAACAUGAUAUCCGGGUCCAGGAAGCAUGUAUAUCUCUAAAUAUGGUGAAUGGAAGGAGGUCCACACCAAGAUACAUAAUAAUUAAAAUGUCAAAUAUUAAAGAUAAAGAGAGCAAGGGAAAAAGUAGCAAGGGAAAAAUCAACUAGUUACAUAAAAGGAAAACACCAGAAGGCUAUCAGGUGAUUUAUACAGCAGCAGCUUUGCACUUGAGAAGGCAAUGACAUGAUAUAUUCAACGUGCAAGAAGAAAAACCUGCAACUAGUAAUACCCUACCCAGCAAAGUUACAUUCAGACCUGAAGGAGAGAUAAUUUCCCAGACAAACAAAAGCUAAUGAAGUUUAUCCCCACUGAACCUGUUUUAGAAAAAAAAAAAAAACAACAACUCAUUAUUUAUUUAUUUUUAAAGGCACUUCAUUAAGUGGGAAAAGGGAAACAUCAUAAUUAAAAGAAAAAAAUUUAAAAAUCAUGAGUAAAAGCAAACAUACAAUGAGAAUAUUAGAUUAGUCACUUAUAAAACUAGUGUGAAGGUUAAAAAAACAAAAGCAGUAAAAUUAAUUAUAUAAACAAAUACUUCAGGGAGUCAAAAAAUUUAAAAAAUAUAUAUAAAAUAUAUACAUAAAAACUGGAGAGAGGAGUAGAAAUGCAGUACUUUUAGAAUGUGUUUGAACUUAAGUGACCAUCAACCUAAUAAUAGACUACUAUAGAGGUGGAGCCUGAGAAGAUGACAGAGUAGUGGGACCCUAAGCUCACCUUGUCCCAUGGAUACAACUAGAUAACACUCAAGUGUAAAUAACCCAGAAAACAACCUGAAGACUGGCAGAAUAAACACUGCAGUGAAGGGUAAAGAGGCAACAUCAAGGAAGGUAGGGAACUUGGAGACAUGGUUUGGCUGCAAAAUGGCCCUUGGCCAUCUGCAGAUGGAGGGAGCCUUGGGAUUCAAGAGGGGAGAGAUAUAGAUUAUCACAUUGUGGAGUCCACACUGGGAAGAAAAAUUCCCACGGCUUUGAAAUCGUGAAGGACCAAAUUUCAUGAGUUCUUAAAACCAGCAGGACUCAAAAGCCUAGAGUUUUAAAAAUCAGUGGGAUUGGCUCUGGGAGAGCAGGCAGGAAAGAGGAAGUUGUGUCUCUACCCUUACAGAGCACAACAAACAGACCCUAGAGGUCCAACCUAGAAGCAGCUGUUUGAAAAACACCUGGGGAAUACAGGAGGGAGAGUUACUUACUGAACUUAGACUCUGUCCCAGAGAGACAGGGACUGCUGGUGGACUUCUGCAGGAAAAAAGGAGCUAACAGGUGCCAUCUCCUUCCCCCACUCCCCAACAUAAAUACACUGCCACUAGCAGGAACCAGCCUGUCACCAUUACUACCUAACUUGCUUAUAUCUAACCCUGUACCUUUCCCUGUGGUGGCCCUGCUCUUCCCAGUCACCUUUCCUUCAGUCAUGUUGCUAGAAGUCCUUUAACCAGACUAGUGCAGACCUUGUCAACACCAUGUCUCCCAACCACAUGUUUUAUGGGGCCUUGGUCCUUGUGGCAGUGGCAGCAGCAGCAGUGGCAGGCCAUGUAGAAGCUUGAGGUGCACCUAGAUAAAAUUGUGUGCUGUGCCAGCUUUGCACACUUUCUGGGUGAAUCCAGGGUGGCCAAAGUUCUGGGGGUGACAGCAGAUCUCAUUUCACAAGCAGAUCAGAGUGCACCUUGUUAAAAUGGCAUGCCCCACCCUGCCCUGGGACCAAACCACGACAGGCAAAGAGAGCCUCUGUAUAUGACUGGACUAAAGGAGAAAGUGGACAGGACACAACUGCAGGGCACAUGCAACACACAUAGGAGCCAGCCCAUGAAGUGUCAUGUUCUGGGGAACAGAGCAUAUGCACUGCAGGGCAAUAUAAGUACUCUUCUUCAUACAGCCAUUACCCUCAAGAACAGGAGACAUAUCUGACUUCCUAACACACAGAAACACAGAGAGUAAGACAAAAUGAGAUAGAGGAAUAUGUCCCAAAUUAAAGAACAGGACAGAACCACAGCAAGAGACCUAAGUGAAACAGAUAUAAAUAAUAUGCCUUAUAGAGGAUUUAAAGUAAUGAUCAUAAAGAUACUCACUGGACUUCAGAAAAGGGUGGAGAACAUCAGUGAGACUACUUUUUUUUUAUUUGAAAGAUUUUAUUUAUUUAUUUGACAGAGAGACAGUGAGAGAGGGAACACAAGCAAGGGGAGUGGGAGAGAGAGAAGCAGGCUUCCUGCUGAGCAUGGAGCCUGACAUAGGGCUUGAUCCCAGGACCCUUGGAUCAUGACCUAGCCGAAGGCAGCCGCUUAACCAACUGAGCCACCCAGGUGCCCCAGAGACUCUUGAUAAAGAGAUUAAAAAAUAACAUAUUAGAGAUGAAGAACUCCAAAAAAUAACAUAUCAGAGAUGAAGAACUCCAUAUAAAAUACAAUAGAUGGAAUAAAUAGUGGACAAUAGGAAGGAGAGGAACUUAUAUGUGACCUGAAGGAUAGAAUAAUGGUAAGUAAUCAAGGUAAACAGGUGAAAGACAAACAAAUACUGCAUAAUGAGAAUAGACUUAGAAAACUCAAUGACUGCAUCAAGAGCAAUAACGUUCUUUUUUUUUUUUUUAAGAUUUUAUUUAUUUUUUUGACAGAGAGAGAGACAGCGAGAGCAGGAACACAAGCAGGGGGAGUGGGAGAGGGAGAAGCAGGCUUCCCGCCGAGCAGGGAGCCCGAUGUGGGGACUCGAUCCCAGGACCCUGGGAUCAUGACCUGAGCCGAAGGCAGACGCUUAACGACUGAGCCACCCAGGCGCCCAAGAGCAAUAACGUUCUUAUUAUAGGGUUCCCAAAAGAGAAGAGAGAAAUGGAGGGGCAAAAAAUAUACUUAAAUAAUAGCUGAAAACAACCUGAAUAUGGGGAAAGAAACAGAGAUCCAGAUUUAGGAGGCACAGAAACCCCCCAAGAAAUUCAACCCAAGAAGGUACAUGUCAAGACACAUAGUAAUAAAAAUGGCAAAAAGUAGUGAAAAUGAGAGAAUUUCAAAAACAGUGAAAAAAAAGUAGAUUGUUACAUACUGGGGAAACCACAUAAGGAUAUCAUUUGAUUUUACAGCAGAAACUGCAGGCCAGAUGGAAGAAGCAUGAUAUAUUCAAAGUGAUGUAAAGGGAAAAUCUUCAGCCAUGAAUAUUCUAUCAACCAAGGGCAUCAUUCAGAAUAGGAGGAGAGAUAGUUUCUCAGACAGACAAAGGUAAAGAAGUUUCUGACCCCUAAACCAGCCCCACAAGAAAUAUUAAAGGGGACUCUUUGAGUGGAAAGACCAUAAGUAAAAGUAUAAAAAGUAGUAACCACAAAACCAGCAAUAAGUAUAUCUGUAAAAAUCAAUCAAAAGAUUCACAAAAUAUAAGGAUGUAAAAUGUGACACCAUAUACCCAAAACAUGGAGGGAAGAGGAGUAAAGAAUGGGUUCAAACAUAAAUGACCAUUAACCUAAUAUAGGCUAGUAUAUUCAGAUGUUAUGUACAAACCUAUUGGUAACCAGAAAUAAAAAAAAAACAGUAAUAGAUAUAAAAUAAUAAAGAGAAUGUAUUCCCAAGUAUAUCACUAAAGAAAGGCAACAAACCAUGAAAGCUAUUAAAGAAAGGAUGAGAAAACUAUAAAAACAACAAAAGUACCACUGUGGCAAUAAUUAUCUAUCAAUAAUUACUUCGAAUGUAAAUGGACUAAAUACUCCAAUCAAAACACUUAUGGUGACAAUAUGGAUAGAAAACCCAACACCCAUCUAUAAGCUGCCUAGAAAAGACUCGUUUUAGAUGUAAAGAACCCUACAGAUUGAAAGUGAGGGGAUGGACAAACAUUUGUCUUGAUAAUGGAUGUCAAAAGAAAGCCAGAGUACCCAUACUUACAUCAGACAGACUAGAUUUGAAUCAAAGACUGUAACAAGAGAUGAAGAAGGGCACUCUUAUCAUAAUAAAGGGGUCCAUCCAACAAGAAGAUCUAACAAUUGUAAAUACUUAAGCCACCAACUUGGGGCUACCCAAAUAUAUAAAUAAAUUAACAACACACAUAAAGGAAAUAAUAAUAAUACAAAAAUAGUAAGGGACUUUAACACCCCACUUACAGCAAUGAACAGGUGAUAGAAGCAGGAAAUCAACAAGGAAACAAUGGCUCUGAAUGACACAGCGGACCACAUAACAGAUAAAUUCAGAACAUUUCAUCCUAAAGCAGCAGAAUACACAUUCUUUUUGAGUGCACAUGGGGUAUUCUCCAGGAUAGAUCACAAAGGGGGUCACAAAUCAGGCGUCAACAGGUAUAAAUAGAUGGAGAUCAUACCAUGAAUAUUUUCUCACCAUAAUGUUAUGAAACUUGAAGUCAACCACAAGCAAAAAUUUGAAAAGACCACAAGUAUGUGGAUGUUAAAAAACAUGCUACUAAACAAUGAAACAAAUCAUCCAGGAAAUCAAAAAGGAAAUAAGAAAAUAAACGGAAAGAAAUAAAAAUGACAACAUUGGACAAUGGUCCAAAAACUUUUGGAUGCAGGAGAAGUGGUUUUAAAAGGGAAGUAUGUAGCGAUACACCUUCUCUUAAGAAGCAAGAAAAGUCUCAAACAGCCUAAAUUUACACAUAAAGGAGCCAAAAAAGAACAACAAAUGAAACCUAAAGCCAGGAAGAAGGAAAUAAUAAAGAUGAGAGCAGACAUAAGUGAUAUAGAAACUAAAAAAAAAAACAAAAACCAAACAAACAAAAGAACAGAGUAGAUCAAAGAUACCAGGAGAUGGUUCUUUGAAAAACUCAGUAAAAUUGAUAAACUCUAGCCAGAAGCAUCAAAGGGAAGAGAAAGGAUCCAACGAAAUAAAAUCACAAAUGAGAGAGGAGAAAUAACAACCAACACCACAGAAAUAGUUAUAAGAGAUUAUGAAAAACUAUAUGCCAACAAAUUGGGCAACAUGGAAGAAAUGUAUAAAUUCCUAAAAACAUAUAAACUGCCGAAUCUAGGGUAAAAUGGUGGAGUAGUAGAAGGACAUUAUGCUUCCCUCAUCCCUUGAAUACAGCUAGAUAAAUAUCAUUCUUAACACCUAGGAAAUCAAUCUGAGGAAUGAGAAAACAAACACAGACAAGAAAAGAUUCUUGAAAGCAGAAAGGGGGAAAAAGUCUUUAAGCUACAAAGGAAGACAGAUUAAGUUUGCAGCAGAUCUGUCCACAGAAACAUGACAGGCCAGAAGAGAGUGGCAGGAUAUAUUCAACAUGCUAAAUGGGAAAAAUGUGCAACCAAGAAUACGUUAUACAGCAAGGCUGUCAUUCAUCGUAGAAGGAGAACUAGAGUUUCCCAGACAAACAAAAACCAAAAGAGUUCGUGACCACUAAACCAGCCCUGCAGGAAAUAUUAAAGGGCAUUCUUUGGGGAAAAAAGACCAAAAGCAACAAAUUAGAAAGGAACAGAAAAUCUCCAGAAACACCAAUUUUACAGGCAACACAAUGGCACUAAAUUCAUAUCUUUCAAUAAUCACUCUGAAAGUAAGUGGACUAAACACUCCAAUAAAAAGACAUAGGGUAUCAGAAUGGAUAAAAAACAAGACCCAUCUCUAUGCUACCUACAAGAGACUCAUUUUAGUCAUAAAUGCACCCUCAGAUUGAAAGUGAGGAGACGGAGAACCAUUUAUCAUGCAAAUGGAUGUGAAAAGAAAGCCAGGGUAUCAAUACUUAUAUUGGACAAAAUAGACUUUAAAAGAAAGAUUUUAUGAAUCGACAAAGAAGUACACUAUAUAGUAAUAAAGGGGACAAUCCAAAGAGACCACCAUAUAACAAUUGUAAAGAUUUAUGCAGCAAACAUGGGAGAAGCAAAAUACAUAAAAUGGCUAAUAGCAAUCAUAAAGGCACUAAUUCAUAGUAAUACAGUCAUAGUAGGGGACUUUAACACUUCAUUUACAUAAACUCAUUAUCCCAACAGAAAAUCAACAAGGAAACAUUUGCUUUGAAUGACACAUUGGACCAGAUGAACUUAAAUGUAUUCAGAACAUUCUGUCCUAAAACAGUGGAAUACACAUUCUUUUCAAGAGCACUUGGAACAUUCUUCAGACUAGAUCACAUAUUAGACCACAAAGAAAGUUUCAACAAAUUCAAAAAGAUUAAAGUCUUGCAUACCAUGCAUCUUUUCAGACCACAAUGCUAUGAAGUUAGGAAACAACCAUGAGGAAAACACUAGAAAGAACGCAAAUACAUGGAGGUUAAAUAACAUGCUACUAAACAAUGAAUGGGAAAACCAAGAAAUCAAAGAUGAGAUUAAAAAUUACAUGGAGUGAAUUGAAAAUGAAAAUACAGUGAUCCAAUGCCUUUAGGAGGCAGGAAAAGCAGUUCUAAGGGGUAGAUUUAUAGCAAAUAUAGGUCAACCUCAAGAAGCAGGGAGGUAUUUAAACAACUUAACCUCCUAAAGGAGCUACAAAAGGAACAACAAACAAAACCCCAAACUAGGAGAAGGAUGAAAAUAAUAAGAUUGGAGCAGAGAUAAAUGAUAUAGAAAGUAAAAAAUAAUAAUUUUAAAAGAUUAAUAAAAUCAGGAGCUGGUUCUUUUUUCUUUUAAUUUUAUUUUAUUAUAUUAGUCACCAUACAUUACAUCAUUAGUUUUUGAUGUAGUGUUCCAUGUUUCAUUGUUUGUGUAGAACACCCAGUGCUCCAUUCAAUACGUGCCCUCCUUAAUACCCAUCACCAGUCUAACCCAUCCCCCCAUGCUCCUUCCCUCUAAAACCCUAAGUUUGUUUCUCAGAGUCCAUAGUCUCUCAUGGUUCAUCUCCCCCUCCGAUUCCCCCCCUUCAUUUUUCCCUUCCUACUGUCUUUUUUUUUUUUAACAUAUAAUGUAUUAUUUCUUUCAGAGGUACAGGUCUGUGAUUCAUCAGUCUUACACAAUUCACAGUGCUCACCAUAGCACGUACCCUCCCCAAUGUCCAUGACCCAGCCACCCCAUCCCUCCCUACCCCCACCACUCCAGCAACCCUCAGUUUGUUUCCUGAGAUUAAGAAUUCCUCAUAUCUGUGAGAUCAUAUGAUACUUGUCUUUCUCUGAUUGACUUAUUUUGCUUAGCAUAAUAACCUGUAGUUCCAUCCAUGUCGUUGCAAAUGACAAGAUUUCAGGGUUUUUUUGAUGGCUGCAUAAUAUUCCAUUGUAUAUAAAUACCACAUCUUCUUUAUUCAUUCAUCUGUUGAUGGACAUCUUGGCUCUUUCCAUAGUUUGGCUAUUGUGAACAUUGCUGCUAUAAACAUUGGGGUGCAUGUACCUCUUCGGAUCACUACAUUUGUAUCUUUGGAGUAAAUACCCAGUAGUACAAUUGCUGGGUCGUAGGGUAGCUCUAUUUUCAACUUUUUGAGGAACCUCCAUAUUCUCAGGAGCUGGUUCUUGAAAAGAUCAACAAAAUCGAUAAACCUUUAGCCAGACUCAUCAAAAUAGAGGGGAUUCAAAUAAAAUCAUCAGUUAAAUAGGAGAAAAACAACUGACAUCACAGAAAUACCAAUGAUUGUAAGAGAAUAUUAUGAAAAGUAUAUGCCAACAAAUUGGACAGCCUGGAAAAAAUGCAUAAAUCCUAGAAAGAUAUAACCAACCAAAACUGAAGCAGAAACAAACAGACCAAUUACCAGUAAAGAAAUUGAAUCAGUAAUCAAAAAAGUCCACAACCAGACAGCUUCACAGCGAAAUUCAAACAAACAUUUAAGGAAGAGUUGAUACCUAUUCCUAUAAAACUUUUCCAAAAAUUAGAAGUGGAAUGAAGACUUCCAAAUUCAUUCUAUGAGGCUAGAAUUACCCUGAUAACAAAACCAGAUGAAGGCACCACAAAAAAAGAGAAUGACUGGCCAAUAUCCCUGAGGAACAUAAAUACAAAAAUUCUCAAUAAAUUCUCAAUAAAAUACUAGCAAACCAAAUCCAACAAUUCAUUAGAAAUAAAAUCAUUCAAGAUGAUCAAGUGGGAUGUAUUUCUGGGAGGGUGGUUCAAUAUUUGCAAAUCAAUCAACGUUAUGCAUCCUAUCAGUAAGAACAAGGAUAAAAAUGAGUCAUUUCAAGAGAUGCAGAAAAAGCAUUAGAGAAAGUACAAGAUCCAUUCAUGACGAGUACCUCAACAAAGUAGGUUUAGAGGGAACAUACCUCAACAUAAUCAGGGAUAUAUAUGAAAAACACAGAGCUAACAUCAUAGUCAAUUGGGAAAAACCGAGAGCUUUUCCUUUAAGGUCAGGAACAAGACAAGGAUGUCCAGUCUUACCACAGCAAUCAGAAAACAAAAGGAAAGAAAAGGCAUCCAAAUCGGUAAGGGAAUAGUAACACUUUCACUAUUUGCAGAUGAUACAAUACUCUAUAUAAAAAAAACCCAAGGACUCCACCACAAAACUAUUAGAAUUGAUAAAUGAAUUCAGUAAAGUUGCAGGAUACAAAAUCAUUGUGCAGAAACCUAUUACAUUUCUAGACACUAAUAAUAAAGCAGCAGAUAGAGAAAUUAACAAAACAAUCUCAUUUAUAAUUGCACCAAAAAUAAUAAAAUACCUAAGAAUAUAAUUAACCAAAGAGGUGAAAGACCUGUACACUGAAAACUAUGAAACUCUAAUGAAAGAAAUUGACUAUGACACAAAGAAAUGGAAAGACAUUCCGUGCUUAUGGAUUGGAAGAACAAAUACUGUUAAAAUGUCUAUACUACCCAAAGCAGUCUACACAUUUAAUGUACUCCUUAUCAAAAUACCAGCAAUGUUUUUCACAGAAAAAUAACAGACAAUCCUAAAAUUUGUAUGGAAACACAAAAUAACUGGAAUAGCCAAAGCAAUCUUGAAAACGAAAAAACACUAGAGGUAUCACAAUUCCACAUUUCAAGUUAUAUUACAAAGCUGUAAAAUCAAAGCAGUAUGGUAGUGGCACAAAAAUAGAGACAUAGAUCAAUAGAAAAGAAUAGAAAGCCCAGAAAUAAACUGACAAUUACAUGGUGAUUAAAUUUCAUAUUUAUUUUUUAAUUAUUAAAAAUAUUUUAUUUAUUUAUUAGAGAGAGAGAACACAGGAGUGGGAGGGAGGGGCAAAGGAGAGGGAGAAGCAGACUCCCUGCUGAGCAGGGAGCCUGACAUGGGGCUCGAUCCCAGGAUCCCAAGAUCAUGACCUAAGCCAAAGACAGACACUUAACCGACUCAGCCACCCAGGCACCCUGGUUGAUUAAAUUUCAAUAAAGGAGGCAAGAAUAUGCAAUAGGAAGAAGAUAGUCUCUUUAACAAAUGGUGUUGGGAAUACUGGAUAGGUGCAUGCAAAAUAAUGAAACUGAGCCAUUCUCUUACACCAUAAACCAAAAUCAACUUAAAAUGUAUUGAGGACUUAAAUAUGAGACCUGAAACCAUAACAGUCCUAAAAGAGGACACAGUAGUUUCUCUGACAUUAGUCACAGCAGCAUCCUUCUCUUUGUCUUCUGAGGGGAAGGGGAAAAAAAGGAAAUAAACUAUUGGGACUACCUCAAAAUAAAAAACACAGCUAAGGAAUCAACCAACAAAACUAAAAGUCAGCCUGUUGAAUGGGGUAAAAUAUUUGCAAAUGAAAUAUCUGAUAAAGGGGCAAUAUCCAAAAUAUAUAAAGAGAUGAUACUGUUCAACACCAACCUCCCCCAAAAUAGUCCAAUUACAAAUGGGCAGAAGACAUCAACAGACAUUUCUUCACAAAGAAAACAUCUAGGUGGCUAACAGACACAUGAAAAGAUGCUCAUCAUCACUUAUCAUCAGGUUAAUAAAAUUAAAAGCACAAUGAGAUAUCACCUCACACCUGUCAGAAUAGCUAAAAACAAGAAACAACAGAUUUUAGCAAGGAUGUAGAGGAAAGGGAACACUUGUGCAUUGGUGGUGGUAUAGAGAGUUUGGAAAAUAGUGUUCUCAAAAAGUCAAAAAUAGAACUACUUAUGAGCCAGCAAUCUAACUACUGGGGAUUUAUACAAUUAAUACACAUCUACUAAUUCAAAGGGAUACAUGCACCUCUGUGUUUAGAGUAGCAUUAUUUCCAAUAGCCAAUAUAUGGAAGCUGCUCAGGUGUCCAUCAAUUUAUGAAUGGAUAAAGAAGAAAUGGUGUAUAUAUAUGAUGAAAUAUUAUACAGCCAUAAGAAUGAAAUUUUCCAUUUGUAAGGACAUGGAUAGAGCUAGACAAUAUAAUGUUAAGCCAAAUGAGUCAGUCAGGGAAAGACAAAUACCAUAUGAUUUCACUCAUAUGUGGAAUUUAAGAAACAAAUGAACAUAGGGGGAGUAAAAGAGAGAGACAGACCAUAAAACAGGCACUUAAGAGAACAAAGUAAGGGUUGCUGAAGAGGAGUUCAACAGGGAAUGGGUUAAAUGGAUGAUGGGUAUUAAGAAGGACACUUGUGAUGAGCACCAGGUGUUUUAAGUGAUGAAUCACUAAAUUCUAAACCUGAAACUAAUAUUAAACUCUGUUAACUAACUGGAAUUUAAAUAAAAAUUUGAAACAAAACAAAAAGUGUGAUAUGUUGUGUGGGAGGAUGGGUGAAAUAUGGGUAUUAAAGAGUACACUUACAAUGAUAAAAAAAAGUGACAAAAAUAAGAAAUUAAAGUCAUCCAGUUUGCUAAGUAAGAAGUCAAACUGUCACUAUUUGCAGAAGACUUGAUACUAUAUAAUGAAAACCCUAAAGACUUCACAAAAAAAGGAUUAAAACCGAUAAAAAAGUUCAGUGAAUUUUCAGAAUAUAAAAUUGAUAUACUGUAAUCUAUUGUAUUUUUAAAGAUUUAGUUUUUUUGUGGGGCAUGGAUGGGGGAGAGGGAGAGAAUCCUCAUGCCGACUCCCUCCUGAGGGUGGAUCCCAACGUGGGGCUCAAUCCCAUGACCCUGAGAACAUGACCUGAGGUGAAAUCAAGAGUCAGAUGCUUAACUGACUGAGCCACCCAGGCGCCCCUAUUGUGUUUUUAGACAUUAAUAAUGCAGAACUAGCAGAAAGACAAAUUAAAACAAUCCCAUUUACAGUUGCACCAAGAAGAGUAAUAUUCCUAGGAAUAAAUUUAACCAUGGAGGUAAAAAACAUAUAUUAUAAAAACUAAGAUACUGAUGAAAACAAUUGAGGACAACAUAAAUAAAUGAAAAGCUAUCCAAUGUUCAUGGAUUGGAAGAAUUAAAGGUAUUAAAAUGUUUAUACUACUCAAAGCAGUCUAGAGUUUCAGUGAAAUAUAACAAUGGCAUUUUUCACAGAACUAGAACAAAUAAUACUAAAAUUUGCAUGGAACCACAAAAGACUUUGAAUAGCCAAAACAAUCUUUUUUUUUUCUUAUUUUUUUAUUAUGUUAUGUUAGUCACCAUAAAGUACAUCAUUAGUUUUUGAUGUAGUGUUCCAUGAUUCAUUGUUUUCGUAGAACACCCAGUGCUCCAUGCAAUACGUGCCCUCCUUAAUACCCAUCACUGGGCUCACCCAUCCCCCCCACCCCCAUCCCCUCUAAAACUCUCAGUUUGUUUCCUGGAGUCCAUAGUCUCUCAUGGUUCGUCUCCCCCUGAUUUCCCCCCCCUCGUUUUUCCCUUCCUUCUCUUAAUGGCCUCCAUGCUAUUCCUUACGUUCCACAAAUAAGUGAACCCAUAUGAUAAUUGACUUUCUCUGCUUGACUUAUUUCACUUAGCAUAAUCUCCUCCAGUCCCAUCCAUGUUGAUGCAAAAGUUGGGUAUUCAUCUUUUCUGAUGGCUGAGUAAUAUUCCAUUGUAUAUAUAGAUCACAUCUUCUUUAUCCAUUCUGUUAAAGGGCAUCUCGGCUCUUUCCACAGUUUUAACCAAAGCAAUCUUGAAGAAGAAAAAAGGUUGAGGUAUGACAAUCCCAGAUUCCAAGAUACACUAAAAAGCUAUUGUAAUCAAAAUACUAUGGUACCGGCAUAAGAAUAGACAUAUAGAUCAAUUGAAAAGGACAGGAAGGGGCACCUGGGUGGCUCAGUUGGUUAAGCGUCUGCCUUCAGCUCAGGUCAUGAUCUCAGGGUCCUGGGAUGGAGCCCUGUAUCAGGCUCCCUGCUCAGUGAGGAGUCUGCUUCUCCCUCUCCCUCUGCCCCUCCCUCCUAUUUGUGCUCUCUCUCUCUCUCAAAUAAAUAAAAUCCUUAAGAAAAUAAAAGGAUAUGGAAUCCAGAAAUAAAAUCACUCAUGCAUUAAAUUAACCUAUUUUAAUAGAGGCAUGAAUAUACAAUGGGGAAAUAGUCUCUACAACAAAUGCUAUUGGAAAACUGGACAGCUGCAUGCAUAGUAAUGAAACUGGAUCACCUUAUUAUACCAUAUACAAAAUUAAACAAAAUGGAUUAAAGACCAACAUGUGGGAGUUGAAAUCAUAAAUAUCUUCAAAGAAAACAGAGGCAGUAAUCUGUUUGACAUCAGCCUUGGCAAAAUAUUUAUGGAUGUGUCUCCUCUGGCAAGGGAAACAAAAACAAAUAUAAACUAUUGGGACUACACCAAAAUAAGAAGCUUUUGCACAGUAAAGAAAGUUAUGAACAAAACAAAAAGUGAACCUAUUGAAUGGGAGAAGAUAUUUUCAAAUGAUAUUAUCUGAUAAGGGAAUAAUAUCCAAAAUCACUAAAAAAUAACCAGAUUUUUUUUAAUGGGCAAAGGAUUAAAUAGACAUAGUCUUUUAAAGAAGACAUACAGAUGGCCAACAGUCACAUGAAAAGUUGCUCAACAUCACAAACCAUCAGGGACUUGCAAAUCAAAGCCAAGAUAAGAGAUUAACUCUCACCCAUUAGAAAAAAUAGAAUAAAAAAAAAAGAAAUAACUGUUGGUAAGGAUGUGGAGAAAGGGGACCCUCAUGCACUGUUGGAAUGUAAAUUGACCGAACGAACCACUGUGGAAAACAGUAUGGAAGAUGCUUAAAAAAUUAAAAAUUGAAACACCAUAUGAUCCAGUAAUUUCAGUGCUGGCUGUUGGUUCAAAUAAAACAAUAACACUAAUUUGAAAACAUAUAUGCAUUCCUACGUUAUCACAGUGCAACGUAUGAUAGCCAACUUAUGUCAGCAACCUGGGCUACACCACCAAUACAUGAACUAUAAAGAGUGGGGUGUACAUAUAUACAAUGGAAUAUGACUUAGCCAUAAAAUGAAUGGCAUCUUGCCAUUUACAAAAACAUGGAUGGACCUAUAGGGUAGUACAGUAAUUAAGACAGACAAACGCCAUAUGAUUUCACUUCUGUGUAGAAUGUAAAAAACAAAAACAAAUGGACAAACAAAAGCAGAUACACAUAAAUACAUAGAACUGAUGGAAGGGGAUUGGUGGAUGAACACAACAGCUGUAGGGCAUUAAAAGUUACAGACUUGCAGUUAUAAAUAAGUUACAGGGAUAAAAAAAGUACAGCAUAGUAACUAUAGUUAUCAAUAUUGUAAUAACAUUACUUGUUGACAGAUGGUAACUACACUUAUCAUGGUUAGCAUUAUGUAAUGUAUACAACUGUUGAAUAUGUUGUGCACUUGAAACUAAUAUAAUGUAUGUCAGCUAUAUUUUCAUAAAGGAAAAUAGAGGCGCCUGGGUGGCUUAGUCAGUUAAGCUUCUACCUUUGGCUCAGGUCAUGCUCACAGGGUCAUAGGCUCGAGCUCUGCAUCCAGCUCUUUGCUCAGCGGAGAGCCUGCUUCUCCCUCUCCCUCUGCCUACCACUCUGCCUACUUGUGCUCUCUCUGUCAAAUAAAUGAAUAAAAUCUUUUUAAAAAAUAAAAAAUAAAGGAAAAUUUUUAAAAAGUGAAAUUUGUAAACACAAAGAGACAACACAGGUGUGUAUACACAGAGAAAAGGCCAUCGGAGGACUUAGGAAAUCACCCAUCACGAAUCUGCAUGCCAAGGAUUAAGGUCUCAGAAGAACUCAAACCUGCCAACACCUUCAUGUUGGACUUCUAGCCAGCCUACAUACUAUGAGAAACAAAUUUCUGUUGUAUUUUUUUAAGUGUUAAAAUAUGUCAAAAAUAACCUCAGUGAUAUGGAAACCAACAACACAUUAACAGGCUUCAUGAAGGAAAACAACAGAUUACUAGAAAAGAGAAAAUAUAAAUAUUCAAUUUUAAAAAGGAUCUGGAAUGCCUUUAGACAAGAACAAGUGCUAGGGAAGUAAAACUUAAUAGACAUUUUCUCAGUGACCCUUAUUAAAUUGACUAUUACUUUAAAUGUAAAUGAUACCAAUUUUUCUUAGGAAUGGCUUUCUCACACAUGGGUAGUAUGAGAAAAUAAUGAUGAUGAAAUAUUGGAUGGAAUUUGCUAAAAAUUCUUGACAUUACUCUUGCGUGUCCACAUAAAAUACAUUAUAUUUCAUGUUGCAUUCAUUUUUAUUUUUCCAAAUUUUUUCAUUAUUUGGACAAAAUUACAUAUAUUUAAAGUGUACAAGUGACAUUUGUAAACAUUGUGAAAUGAUUAUUACAAACAUGCUAAUUAACAAAAUCAUCACUUCACAUAGUAACAUUUUUUCCUUGUUCAUUUACUGACAAUUAUAUAAACAGUUUUAGAAAAUUCUAAAAUAUGUUACUUAUGUAAGUUUUCAAGUAACUAUUUCACUAUUAGUAACUAGAGUCAGAGUACACCCUAUUAGACCUCUAGACCUUACAGAACUUAUUUAAAAACUUGGAGCCAGUGAACAUCUUGCCAUUUCCGAAACUGCAAGAAUCUAGCAAUCACCAUUCCAUGCUCUGCUGUAUGACUUGUUGAAAUUAUAAAUGAAAUUGUGCAGUAUUUGCCUUUCACUGUGUGUCAUAUUUCAAUAAAAAUUUUAUACGCCAAAUUCAUCGUCUUAUUGAAACUCACACUAUUUUUCAAUAAGUUGCAUAAUAUUCUCUUAAAUACAUAUAACAUAAUUUUUCAUUCUAUCCAUUGACAUGUGGGUUCUUUGCAAAAUUGGGCUACUAUGAAAAAUAAAACAAAGAAAUUGAGAAAACACAUACAUCUUUGAGACACAGGUAUCAUUUAUAUUUGAUACGUACUCAGAUUUCUACCUAACACACUAGCGCUAUUUUAAUGUUAGAAGGAAUAUCCAUGAUAAUUUAUCAUUUUUCUUUUGAAUCUAUCUACAGAAAACAAGACAUAAGAUGGGAUAAAAAAGAGGAAAAAAGUUACCUGAUUUAGGAUUACUAUAAAUCAAAUGCUUACUAGAGAAGAAAACAAAAUGUUUUCAAAACAAACCAUGGUCAACCACAUAUACAUGCUCAUUGAACAAAUAAACACAAGAUCUCUAUACCCAAUUAGAACAUAAACAGAAAAAUCGAAUUAUAACAUAUACAAACCAAACUCAAAAACUCUAUUCAAAAAGUCAUUAAGGGCGCCUGGGUGGCUCAGUCGUUAAGCUUUUGCCUUUGGCUCAGGUCAUGAUCCCACGGUCCUGGGAUCGAGUCCCACAUCGGGCUCCCUACUCGGCGGGAGGCCUGCUUCUCCCUCACCCACUCCCCCUACUUGUGUUCCCUCUCUUGCUGUCUCUCUAUCAAAUAAAAAAAUAAAAUCUUUAAAAAAAAAAGUCAUUAAAACUACAGAACUGCAAACAUACUAUGUCUACUAUAAAUGAUUCAGCAACGAAAGUAAAAUAUAUAAAUAUAUCUUCUAAGUCAGAAAUAAAGCAAAAACAAAUGAUACUUAUGUAUAGCAUACAAAACACAUCUCUGAAAAGACCUGCUCCAGCAAGGGCUGUGAACCUGGAGCCUGGCCUGUUGACCCAGAUAGAUGGGGACUCCCACACUGGAGGAGAGUCAGUGGCCGUCCGUCCUCCACAGGAGGUGGCCCUGAGUGGGGCCCCGUGACUCGUGACUCGGAGAUGUGUGGUGGCCUUGCCAAGGCCCCUGUGUGAGAGCAAGGGCUGCCUGCCCGCCCAGAGUGGGUGCUUGUGUGAGUGCUUGGUUCCCCUUUCCGGGGAGCCUCCUGGUUGUAGCCCUGUGGCUGCAGGUCGGGCCAGCCAUUUCUGGCUGCUUGGUCGGGUCAGCCCAAGGUGGUGGUGACCUCAGCCUGUA